UUUGAUUUAAGACAAUCAACGGUAUUGUAAUUUUAAAAUUUAAGCUAACUACUUUAUUAAUGAAUUUGUAGUUCCAAAAAUUACAUUAGUAAUACUAAUUAAAUCUGUAAGGACAAAUAAUGCAUUCAAAUUUUAAAGUCAAAAUGUCAUCAACCGAGUUACUUCUUCAAGAUGGUAUUUUUUUUUCUCUACCACUGAUGUCAUUAACCGAAUUACUUCUUCAAGAUAGUAUUUUUUUUUUCUCUACGACUGAAUGAAUAUAAAUAUUAAUAAUAUCGUUCUACGAAAUAAUAUCGUUUUCUACGACUGAUUCAAAUUUUCGGAUUCGGAUUCGGGUUUCGAAUUUGAUCUGAUAAUACAUAAAACUCUUUUUGACGUCAAAUUCAAAAUAGAGCGAUAAUUUUUUUUCUCGUACCUAAGUCUCUGUGGGGGAUCUACCCCGAAUGGGGCGGGGAUGGAAAGGAUUUUGUUCAGUGAGUAAAUUUUUUCGCUCACGGGGAUGGAGCUGAGAUGGGACUCCCCACCCUAGUUAGUUAAUUCACGAAUUAUUCGUGAAUUAUUCACAAAUUAUUAAAAAUCCGAAUUAAACUGUCCAUUUACGAAUUUUUUUCAAAGAAAGCGAAUUAUUCGCGAAUUUUUGAACCAGCCGAAUUAUUCGUGAAUUAUUCGCGAGUUAUUCCCGAAUUAUUGAAAAUAGGAAUAAAAAACUUAUACUUUUUAUUUUUGAAUAUAAAUUAUCCUAUAUUUUAUAUCAUAUAUUUUAUAUUUUAUACCGAAUCCGUUUUCUAAGUCGAAUUUUUCAACGAAUUUAAAAAUUAGAAAAUAAAUUUUAUGCGUAUUAUAUCUGUACCAAUUUUUUACUGAAUCCGAAUUAACUAACUAUGCUCCCCACCCCCACAGAAUAAUAUAGAAGCAAUUGCUUACAUACUCCUGAAAAGCUCUUAGCUUUCUGAUUUAUCCCUCUUAGAAGGUUAAUAUUGAAAAUAUCUUUUUUACGUUUUGACGUAUUUUCAAUAUGCCCUUAGGGUUAAAUUUUUUUAAUGAACUGUUAGCUAUAGCUGUUAUUUCUAUAAAAUUACUAUUUUGCCCUUUCAAAUAUACUCUUCUACUGUCAUCAAUUUUUCUUAUUUGUCCUUAAGUUAGGAGCAUAAAAAGUAUUUUAAUUUUUUGUCUUUUCAAAUAUACCCUUCUACCAUCAUCAAUAUUUUUUAUUUGCUCUUAAGUUAAGGACAAAAAAAAUAUUUUGAAUAUUUUUUUUUAACCUAAGUUAACUUAACGGGUGAUAAUUGUAGAGUAUUUUGGGAUAACGGAAGAAUAUAUGAGGGGUAUAUUGAAAAGACAAAAAAAAGUAGGGAUAAAUGCAAUAUUUCCAAAGUUUUGAGAGGUAUAUAGGUAAUUACCCCAAUAAUAUAAUAUAUUAGCAUAUAAUUUUGCGUUUAUUAUUAAAUAUAAAAUGCCUACUUUGAUACUUUUGAUAUGCUUUUAAUUUAAUCAAAUAUUUUAAACAUAUGUAAUUUUUUAUACAAUAUUAGUUAAAUAAUAUGUGAUUGUUAUACAUUUUCAGUAAUUUGAUGUCAUACUUAUACUUAAUAAUUAGGUAACAUUUAAAUUACUUCCAAGUAAAGUUAAACUAAAUUUCUAAAUUUUAAAUAAAAAUUUUAUUAAGUAUAUUUUGAAAAAAACCAGCAGGGACAGGGCGGGGAUAGAGAUUAUAAAAUUUCGCGGGCACAGAGACGCAACAGUGUUGAUUUCAAAAAACAAAAUGCUUCAUGUACAUCUACAUAUAGGUGUAAAUUUUACACUUCACUCAUCGUAGAGUUUACAAAAUUUUUAAAAUUUUUGGUGUUAAAAAAAUAAUUGAUAAGGUUAAUAAAAUAUAUAUAGUGGUCUUUGAUUUGAUAGAGUUUAAUAUUCAUACUUAAUACUUAAUACAUAUAACAAUGCUCGACUUCAAAAUGCCAUGGAAUUUAGGGUUUUCAUUGUACAAUUUUUUAACUCAUCCCUUUAAAUUACAGGCAAUGUGAAUAUCUUAGGAUAAAGGUCCACAUUGGAUCUUUAUCUUGUCAAAAAAAGUUUCCUAAUACCAAAAAUUUUUUAAAAAAAUUUCUAAAUCCUAAAAUAAGGAAUGUGAGAUCUAUUAUAUAGUUAGCAUUUUCUUUCAGGUAAAUUGCACGUUUGGUCCCUUUAAUUCUCAAAUUUUAAUAUAUUAUAAUUUUUGACUCGAACUUUUAUAAUUAUUAUAAUUAAGUUUUAUUAUCUAAUUUAAUUGACCGAAUAUAUUGACUUAUCGUUAGUAUAAAAGUGAUAUAACAUCUUAAUUAUUAGUGUAUUAUUCCUAUAUUACUUCUAUAUUAACGAUACAUUGAUGUUAGUCAACUAAACUGAGUUGUGGAAUUUGACUGUAAUAAUUUUAAAAGUUUGAAUAAAAAUUACAACAGAGUAAUGCCUAACUUAUAAUUGAGAGCCAAAUGUGCAAUUUAUUUUUUUACCUUAUGGUCGUGAGUAAGGCUUUCAACAGGCUAAACGCGAGCGAGUCGGAAUCAGCUCAUGUUCGCUCAUUUAUUAAUCAAGCCGAACGCAGGCUAGCUUUUUAAAAUAUCAAGCUGAAAAAUUUAUCUCAUGUUCGGCUUGUUUAUUAAUGAGCCAAGCACGAGGUGGCUCGUGAACAGCAAAAUAGAUUGUCAGCCCUAUCACCAGAUGAAAAGUUGAAAGAAAAUCAAAAAAUUAGAGUUUUAAUCUAAUAAGAAAUUCACACAAUAUGUAUCUCUUCACAUUUGGGCAUGUCUAAAAUACAAAUAAUAAAAAAUUUGUAAUAUAUACAUAUAUUGAAGCUUUAUCGAACGGUACACGAGCGAGCUGACACCAUGCGACACUCCUAAAAUUUAAAAUAGUUCUGUAUAUAAGAUAUAAUAAGACUAAACCCUUUAUUCCAUCUAUAUUAUUUUAAACGGUGACCAGACCCAAAUAUUGAGCAUGUUAUGACUAAAAUAGUUCUAGGAUAGAUUGUUCUCAAAAAGCACUAGUCGAAAGUAUGAGAUGAGUCUCAGUUAAGUUAGAAUCAUAUAGCAAAUUUAGUGCAGCUUUAUAUAUAAUAAUAUAAUAAUAAGGUUAAACCUUUUUAUCCGACUAUAGUAUUUUGGACAGUAACGAACUAGAAUAGUUCUAAAACAUGCAACUCUUAAAGCUUCGUUUGAUUCAGAUAUAAGUAAGAACUAGCUAUUACAGGGAUAGGUACACGUAUGAGGAUAAGAAAAAUAGCAUUUGAAUGAAAAUUGGAUUAUUUCUGAAGAUAAGAAAAAUAGCGUUUGAAUAGAUAAUAUAGAAUAAAAAAAAUAGUGAUAGUUAUAUAUAAAAAACGAAGAUGUUGGUAGGGAUAAUUAUACCAGCUUAUUUUAGUUUGCGUAUAAAAAGAAUAAGAAGUUAUUCCUCUCCUUAUCUCCGAUCCAAACGGUGCCUUAUAGAACACAUUAUGCACGAGCUAAAUCUCAAGUGGAAAAAUUCAGCUCUUGUUCGGGUUGAGCUUAUUCGCACCUGCCGUGGGCGACUUGCCACCCGAGCCGCCGCGUCCGCGAUGCGAGGCCGCGGCGACGCGUGGCGCUAAUCCUCUUGCUGACGUGGAAUCUCCUGUGGGCCCUAUCCCCCCUCCUCUCUCUCUCUCUCCGCGACUCCCGAGGCUAUAGAUAUAUAUAUAACCCGAACGUACAUUCGAAGUGAGAGAGAGAGAGAGAAAGAGAAAGAUCGAUCUAGAGAGAGAAAUAGCGCGCGAAGCGAAGGAGACGACGGAGCGAGAGGAGAAAGAGGAGGCGCGUUCGCACGUGCGAAAUCUCCCGGGUUAGGGCUAGGGUUAGGGUUAGGGUUUCUUCGUGCGACGUUCGGAGCUCGGCGGUAACGAUGGAUCUCCUCGCUCCCUCCUCUCCCUCCCUCUUUCGCUCGAUCGAUCGAUCGAGAUCCAACUCACUCGCUUUUUUUUUUCUUUAUUUUUUUUUCUUUCUCCCUCCUUUCGUAUCGAUCUCUCGCCCUUGUUUGAAUCUUUUUUUAUUGCAAUUUUGUAUCUACACGAAUUGUUCCAUGCUUUUGACGUAGUUGUUUUUUUAUCAUUUUUUUCUUUUUCUUUUUUAGAAAAAAAGGGUGAGGGCAAUCGAGAUCAUCAUGAGGGGCGUCUCAGAAGCCUAUUUCGAUCCCGAUUUCGAUGCGCUCAUCGAUCGCAUCAAUCCCCCCGGGUGAGUAAUUAUUAAUCUUAAUUUCAAUUCAAUUUCUUAAGGUUUCAUCAAUCAAGUAAAUUUUAAAUAUUAUUAAUCUUAUUCUUGUUGUUGUUGAUAGAUGAAAAACUAUUGCAGAAUCAAAAUGAUGAUUAAAAUUUAAUAUUAUUGUUAAUGAUGAUGAUGAUGAUGAUGAUGAUGAUGAUGAUUUUUGCAGGGUUGUUGUGGACAACGAAACAUGCGAGGAUUGCACCCUUGUUAAGGUAACAAACUACACCCUCCUCUCUGAAAAAAUUAUUCCGUCGACCCGGUCCACUAAGCUUUAAUCCGUGGACCACGCACUUUCUCAUUUUAGUGCCCUAUGGUUUGAAGUGUAUCGCACAUCUCGUUUCAUUUUUUUCCUUUUGUUAUUCCCUUCACUAUUUUUUUCGUUAAAUCAGUGACAAAGUUAAAACUAAAGAUACUAAGGCUUUGUUUGGAAUUGCGGAGAGAUUGCGUUACGUGCGGUAGAAAAGUACGUUGGAAAACUGUUUGUUUCCGUACGUAAUAUUGCGAUCUGCAUAUUGUGAUGAGUCGGUUACGAUAUAUUUAUUGCGGUCCCAUCGGAGAACGCAUAAGCGCUUUUCCUCAACUUCAUUUUAUCUAAUAGUGUUAGAUAGACUUCAAUACCAAAUUAAGCCUAAAGUGAAUAUCCUAUAAAUUAUAGGUAGGGCAUUUGGAGUUUUUUGUAUAUGAUUUAAUAAAAAGUUAACAGAAAGGCUAACGCAAAGAGAAAAAUGAAACCACAGUGUACUAAGAUACUAAAUUGAUACACGUUAAACCACAGAAUACUAAGAAUACUAAAGUGAGAGAAUACGAACCACAGGAAUAGUAUUUGAAGUUUACUUUAAAAAAAACAUUUUCAAAUUUAUAGGCAUUUUAGUAAAAGUGUUAAAUAAAUAUAGACAAAAAUAUACAAAAUUUAUCUCCAUUUAUAUCUCGAUUGUAAACCAUUUGAGUCGGCUAUUUUUUAAAAAAAUUUGACAUUUUAAUUUUAAAUUUUAAAUUAAUAACUUACUUUGAUGAAUUUAUGAUUAUAAUUACACAAAUUAUAGAAAAUAUAUUAAUUAAAUUCAUAAAAACAUACAAAUGAUAUAUUUAAAUUUUAAAAUUUUAAAAUUAUCAAUCGUCGUCGAUAAAAUGAAAACAACAUAAAAGCGGAGGCCACAUUUUGUGAAACACGUGGUGGUUCCUGUACCGUCCUUUUUAACCUCGAGAAAACGACGAAUCCCUGCCACUGCUUUUGCAACAAACAUGUGGGCGGCGUGAGAGAGAGAGAAAUGGACGGUCGAGAAUGAUCGGCUAUCUUAACCUUUUUUUUUAAUUUUUUAUUUUAUUUAAAUUGUUUUUGUUGGGCCCUCCUAGGUAGAGAUGUCAAUGGGUAUGGAUAUUCAAAAUUUUAUUCGAAUCCGAACCCGAAUAAAAUGAAUAUAUUCGAUACUAAGCCUCCGUUUGGUUCAGGGUUAAGAAAAAAAUAGCUAUUUCAGGGAUAGAGUUAAGUUCAGGGUUAAAGUGGGGUUAAAGUUUUUUUGUGUUUGGUUGGAGGUGGAGUUAGUCUAGAAUAAUAAAAAAUAGUGUUUGGUUGGAGCAAGUGGGAUAAGAAGAUAAUGAUUGAUAAAGAAGGAUAAUGAUUGGUUGGAGUAGGUGUGAUAAAAAAGAUAGUGGGUUAUUAUGAAUAGAAAAAAAUGUUUGGUUGGAGUUUGGUGGGGUUCGGUAGGGUUAGCUAACCCGGGAUAACCCGGGAUAAUUUAUUUGAUGUGGGGUUAACCCCACCUAUUUUUUGGAGUGUUUGCAGAUAAAAUGGGGGUUAAGGGGUUAUUCCACCCCUUAACCCCCAACCAAACAAGGGCUAAAUGAAUAUGGAUUUGGAUAUGGAUAGCAAAAAUAAAAACCAGACGGAUAUGAAUUUUAACUGUACCUGAUCCGAACUCGAAUUUAUUUUACAUUAUAUAUAAUAUGUAUAUAAAAUUUGAUGUUAUAUUUGAAUUUGUAUUUUAAAAAUUUAGAUUUAAUAUAAUAUAUUUUGAAAUAUUGAAAAAAGAAAUAAUUGUUUUGGGUUCAAAUUUUCGGGCAAAUUUUCGGGUUCGGAUUCGGGUUCGGGUUUCGAAUUUUUGGUCGGGUUCGAGUUUGGAUAUGAAUUUUUAAAAUCCGUCGGGUUCGGAUUCGAAUUCGGGUCUCAGGUUUGGAGUCGUGUUCGGAUUCGGGUUUUUGAAAAUCCACUCCGAAUCUGACCUGUUGACAUCUCUAGACCCUCCUGGGAGUGCCAGGUAGCUGACUUUUGUUUUUUUAUAUAAUAAAAUAAAAUAUAUAUAAUAAUAAUAAUAAUAAUAAUAAGGAUGAACUUUAAAUACCACCUCUAUGGUUUCUUACUUUCUCAUUUUAGUAUUCUGUGGUCUAAAGUGUAUUAAGUUAGUGUCACGUGAUUUCAUUUUUAUCUUUUCGUUAGCUUUUUUGUUAAUAUUUUGUUAAAUUAUAUACAAAAAACUUCAUAUAUCCUAUCUAGAUUUAUUAAAUAUUCACUUUAGUACCCACUUUAGUACCCAUUUAGUUUUAACUUUAUCACUGAUUUAAUAAAAAAAAAUAGUGAAAUUGAUAAUAAAAAGAUAAAAAUAAAAUCAUAGGAUACUAAAUUGAUACACUUUAAAUUAUAUGGUUGUAAUCUAAAAAAGUAUGAAACCAUAAGGGUGUAUUUGAAUUUUUUUCUAAUAAUAAUGUAUGUAUGAUUGCAUUGCAGGUGGACAGCGCCAACAGAGACGGGAUACUUUUGGAAAUGGUGCAGGUGCUGACAGACCUCGACCUCCUCAUCUCCAAAUCCUACAUCUCCUCCGACGGCGGAUGGCUCAUGGACGGUUCGUGAUCUCUCUGAACCCAAAUUGAAUCCCCAAGUAAUGUACUAUUUUUUUGAAAUCAUAUUUUAAAAUAUAUCAUACUGAAAUAUACAUUUUUUAAACUAAUUUAUGCCCGAAUUGACGUCCGUCGUGAUUUUAUUUUUUAUAAUUAUUUGUAAAAUUAUACUCAUUUAGUAUUAAAUAAAUGCGCUCUAUUCCAAAUCGCAUAAAAUUCUAAAUAAAAUAUUUGUACUCAUUAGUAUCCCCAUCCCUCUCACCUGUCACCUCUCUCUCUCUCUCUCUCUCUUCUCUCUCUCUUCCAUUAUUUUGUGUUAAUUUAAAAUCUAAAACAUCAUAUGUGGAUUAUUUGCUCAAAAUUUUUUAUUUUAAUGACUACAAAAUAGUUACGAGUUAUCUUUUAAAAGCAGCCCAGUGCGCUACAAUAAAAAUAUAACCUAAAUCACAUUUUUUCGAAAUAUAUAUAUAGUAGUAAAAAAAAUAAAAUCGAGCUAAAUUGUACCCUUUCUUCUUUUUUUUUUAAUAACUUUUUUAAGAAUAAUAUUAUAUAUAAAUAUAUUAUAUAUUUUAUUUAUUUUUGUACAGUGUUCCACGUGACGGACCAGCUGGGUAACAAGAUUACCGACCGCGGCAUGAUCCACUCCAUCCAGCAGUCCUUCACGCCGGCGCCCAAAUCCGCCAGCCCCCGCCACCACCACCACCACCACCACCACCAGCAGAGCGAAUACAAUUCCGACUCCGCCUGCUGCACCUGCGCUGCCGCAACGACGACGACAACAACUAUCGAGGUCGCCGCCGCCGACCGCCCCGGCCUCCUCUCCGAGAUCGCCGCCGUGCUCGCGGCCCUCGGCUGCCGCGUGUCCUCCUGCCGUGCCUGGACCCACAACUCCCGCGCCGCGGCCGUGCUCGACGUCCAUGACCGCGCCGCCGCCGUCGACCCCCGCCGCCUCGCCGACAUCGAGCAGCAGGUGCGCGGCGUGGUCGGCGCGCACUCCGACGGGCCGGGCGACCGGAUGCGCGUGGCCGUGUCCUCGCCGUCGCCGUCGGGGCGCGUGCACACGGAGCGGCGGCUGCACCAGAUGAUGAGGGAGGAUGGAGACUACGAGGAGAUGACGACGGCGGCGGCGGCGGCGGCGGCGACGGAGACGCGGGUGACGAUAGAUCGGUGGGCGGAGAGGGGGUAUUGGGUGGUGGGCGUGCGGAGCUUGGACCGGCCCAAGCUGCUGUUCGACACCGUCUGCGCCCUCACCGACAUGCGCUACGUCGUCUUCCACGCCGCCGUCGGCUCCCACGGCCAUCUCGCAAUCCAGGUACGUAUACGUACCCAUCCACAUGCAUGCGCUUUACAGAGUUCACAUAUGAAUAGUCUCACACUCCAUAAUUAUAAGACAUUUUCGAUACUCUAUAAGAGUUCACAUAUAAAUAUUCCCACACUCAAUAAUUAUAAGGCAUUUUUUAUGCCGCAGUUCAUGACAUGUGAAUAAUUUCACAUUCAAUAUUUAUAAAAUAUUUUUUAUACUGAAACUUUCGAAUUCACGAUCCACUUUAUUAAAUUUGCUCUAGAAUAUUUGAAGUAUCUUAAAAAUAAAUUUAACAAUUUUUUGAUAUUAUUUACUUAGCAAUUGAAAAGACGCAAAAUUAAUUAAGAAUUUUAAUAAUCGUGAUGAGCUGUUUAUAAAUUUAACGAUAUAGAAAUAUUCAAAUCACGUAAAAUUUUAGUAGAAUUUUAGUUGAAAAUUUUUAGCUUGGAUCAGGAAUACUACAUAAGGCACAAGGAUGGGUGUAGCUUGGACUCCGAGAGCGAGCGUCGAAGGGUCACCCGAUGCUUGGUCGCCGCCGUCGAGCGAAGGGUCUCCCAUGUAAGUCGACAUCUCAGACCGCAAAGUUUCGGCAAUCAUAACCCCUCACUAGUUGCUAACAUGUUCUAACUAUGUCGGCGAUCGAAUCUGCAGGGGUUGAGGCUCGACGUUCGCGCGAUCGACCGGCCGGGGCUACUAUCGGACGUGACGAGAGUGUUUCGAGAGAAUGGGCUCUCGCUGGCGCGGGCUGAGUGCGCGACGCGCGGGGAGAGGGCGGUGGGGACGUUCUACGUGACCGACGCAUCGGGCUGCAGGGAGGUGGACCCAAAGGCGGUGGAGGCCGUGAGGAGGGAGGUCGGCGGGGGGAUCGUCUUGGAGGUGAACAAGGAUGCUCCUAGUCGGUCACCGGCGGAAAAGAAGAUCAGGGCCCAAACACACGGUAUCGGUAUCGGCAGUGCUAGCAGCUUAGAAGAGGCGAGGCCGAGGAAUUCGCUCGGGAGCAUCCUGUGGUCGCAGAUCGAGAGGUUGUCCGGUUUCAUCCGAUCGUGAAUCACACAAGAACACAGAAGAAGAAGAAGAAGAUCACGAAGAAGAUGAAGAAUAUGAGUUUGUUUCUCUCGGUUCAUCCGAUCCUGCCGAUCGCGCGCGGAGAAAUCAAAGCAUCAGAUGCAGAAGAUCAUGACUUAGAAAAGGAGUCUCGCAUGUGCAGUUCUGCUUGUAUAUAUAUAUAUAUAUAUAUACAUGUCGAUGAGUUUUUCGCCCGCGGCGUCUUUGGUUUCGUUCGGACGAGUAGUACUAUAUAUGGUUUCUGGUUUAGGAGUUAGUUUUUAGAUGAUUAUCAGCAGAGAUUUGUGACCACUACCCUUAUCAUGUGUGAGGCUCAGGAAAUUAGGUGCUAAUUAGUGGUGCGCGCAAAUGUCUCGUCAUUUUUAGUUGCGUGCUGCAUGUGGAGCAAAAACUAGUGAAGAUCAACAAGAGCUUAAUUUAAUUCCUGCAGCACGUUUUAAGUUUUGCAAAAGAGGAACUGAAUCUUAGCUAGAGAAGAAGCCUUGUAAAGAAGUCCCCUUGAUAGCUUCUCUCCGUCCUAGCUUAUUAUAUUUUUGCCCUUAUGCUACUGUUGCUGUUCUCUAGUUUUCUGAUUAUUAUCAUUACUGUAGGUAGAAGCAGAAGCAUAAGUUCUUGGGAGUACACACAGAUAGUAGUGGUAACGAAGAAAGGAAAGAUAUAUGGUAUUUGCUUUUAGGAUAAUUCUGCGCCAUUCUCUUUUUUUUUUUUUUUUUUGAGAAAUAGUAGUAUCGCUUCAUUCAAUUAGAUAGUGAAUUAAGCUACAUAGUGAGAUGGCCAGGCCUCUGGAAAAGAAAGAAAAAAACGUUCACAAGUAGGGGAUAGUUUUCAAAAAAAAAAGAAUUAAAAAUGGCCAGCGACUGAGAAAAAUACCAUUUGCCCCUAGCAUUUGAUUUUAUAUACAUUUGAAUCCGCAAUGUCAAGUAUAGCCUCAACAUUACUGUAGUAUUUAUAUCUUCGUACUGAGAAAAAAGAGGGAGCACAAAAAAAAAAAAGAAAAAAAAAAAAGAAGAAUGUGCCGCUUAUCUUUUGAAUUAUUUUGAGCUUAAAUUUUAAAGCUAGCUAACUUAAAUCAAGUACAUUAAAACAUUAGAUAGUAAAAUUAAAAUUCAGUAAGAUUGGGUAGUAGACUUGAUGAUUCAUCUACAAUUUAGAACUUAUUUUGUACAUUUUUCAAAAAAAAAAUUUCCAAAUUUCAUAGAAAAUUCUCCAUUUCAGUUUUUUAUCCAAAAAAACAAAACCUCUGAAGAGAGAAUUCCCAUAAAAAAAAUAUUAUUCUCGAAAUAAUUUUUUUACAAAUUUCCAAAUAAUUCUUCACAAAUUUCCAAAGGGAAAGCGUCGUCGUCCAACUCAGCUAAAGAUAAUUAAAAGGUAAAACCAAACUACAACAUCUAAAAAAAAUAGCAAGAAUCCAAAUAUAAGGCCGAAAUACUGGUGAGCACACCUUAAAAAUAACUUAUAUAUUCCUCUAAAUUUCUAAUCAACGAUAAGCUUUUAAUACCGACCGUCUCUAAAACAAAUAGCAAAAGACUUAGGUGGUUGGUACACGACAUCCAAGUUCAGUGAUUGAUUCACAUUUCCACCUAAGUUUAUUUCUAAAGUGAAAUAAACGACGCUGGUGGUGUACUACCUAUCUCUCUCCAAAAAAAAAAUAAUAAAAAAAAUAAAAAAAACUUUUAAUACCUUAAAAAAAUAUCUUCCCAGUUACUCAUUCUCUUUUCUUUCUUUUCUUUUCUUCAUAUGAACAAACACUUUCUUUUUUUUAAAAAAAAAAUCCCUUAAAUGAAAUAAUUUGGAAUCAGAUGUAAAAGAGAUGUAAUUUGGUAGGAGAUGAACUUCUCGUUUGAAAUUAUUUAUAUAAAGCAACUCUAAAAAAAAAAUCAAUGCGAAACGAAGAUAAAGAGUUAUAAAACCGAAAUUUCGAUACGUGGGAAAGCCUGCUGCAGCUGCUUAAUCAUCUGAAAACUCUCUCUUUGACGAGCUCCGUGGAUGGUCAUCUUCGUCAGUGAAGUCGCAACUCGGAAUAAGAACUCCAGAAAGUCAUAUUCAUAUCUCUGCCCUUGAGGCCUGUAGAUUGAUAUAUCAACCAACUGCUUGAGCGACACGCCGUGAGAAUCCCAAUAACCGCCUCGGCCGAAACCGCCUUUUGCCUCGAAAUAAUUAGCGUAAUCCUGAGACCAAAGAAACAAAAGAAAACAAAUUAGAUUGCAUUUCUCUUACAGAUAUAUAUGCAAAUCAAAGGAAAGCCAUUCGCAAAUGGAUUUCCUAGAAAAAAAAACCCGGUAAAGUAUUUUCCAUCCAUUUGAUUUUUCCAUGAAAAGUAUGUUCCUUUUUUUUUCCCCUGAUUUCACGGAAAAUUACGGAAUUCAUCCUGAAAACAAAAACUAUGGUAAGGGUUGUUUUUCUGUGGAAAGCUAUUGUUUUUUUUUACCCCCGAUAAACCGCUUUCCAUGUUUUUCCGAUGAACAAAACACCUCCUUCGAUGCACGAGAUCAAGGAUCCGCACAAAGUGCGAGAAAAUCUUCUGCUUCGAGGUGUAGAGAAUGUGCUUCAUAGCUAAAGAUAAUGGGCACUGUAAUUAUAAAUCUGUAGUGAUUCCGAUUGACUCACAAUAUUCUGUUCAGAUUCUACAUAGAAGGAAACAACCAAUGUCUCGAGUUUAGAGGAGUGCUUGAGCAAGAAGGCAACACCCAACGAAUCGAAUUCUGCAAAGUUGGCCGAUAUUCCCAGAUGCUUGAGAUUUCCAUAGUUUGGAGCCGGCGGAUUUGGCUGAUCGCGCUGAUCGAAAGCAAACUGACUCAAUAUCUGCAUUAUUUAGCAUUCAUGCAUUAGUUUUAUACCCAACAAGCGUAAGAGUUAGAAAGAAACCGGUUAUCGAAUUGAUAAUAUUAAUACAACAUCAGAAUUCAGUUUAGUUAGCAAUCAUGAACAACUUUGCGACCACACAUACCUUCAUAGAGCUCUCUAACACGACCAGCCGAUUAACUCGAAGCUUGGUAAACGCAGUAGUCAGAGAGCCAUUGUACAGUGAGUCCAUGCAAGAGCGCCGAUAGUUCAGAGGUAUGAGGAAGGACGAGACGAGAGAAGCCGGGAUGGAGUCAAUAGUGGAGGAGCGCGGUGGCGGGCCACACCACACCAAAGUCUGAAGUCCUGGCGCGGACAGCUUGAAGUGAGUCAGGCUGAGAUGAUCAUUCAGCUGGAACACCAUCACUGUCUUGAUGCUGGGGCAGCAGAUGCUGAGGCCGCUCAUUGAUCUGUAUAUCUUUUCUAACCUCAAAAACUCUAAAAGCGGGGAGUUCACCUCGAGCGAAAACCAAGGUACGGAUUCGAAUAUCAUCCUCCAAUCCUUAAGAACAGGACAGCUUUUAGAGAUCGCGUCGUUGGCCAUGGGGGCGAAAACCACUUGCGUGAGAUCAAGAUUCUCUAAUGAAGGCAAGAAUGCAGUGGCGGGCCAAUCGAUCACCGCUGCGCCCCCUCGAAAAUGAAGACAUAGCACUCUUAGUGAUGGCAGGUGGAAGACGGAGGGCAACUUGACAAAAGAGUAAGCACCAUAAAGACUAAGAUCGAGUGACUGCAGUGCAGAGUUACUCACGUAGCGAAUCCAAUUGUCGAGUUUGGUUUUGUCGCGAAGUUUUCUCCUCAUUCCGAGGGCGAAGGAGCGGACAGGAACGGCGUGGUGGCGAUGCCUUAGAGCGGAGUCAACCAAGUUAAACAAAUGCGCAGUUCUCAACUUCCGGAUCCCGAGAAGGAAAAUAUGGCUGGGUGAAGGAAAUGUCAGGGGCGGUCUGCCAGAUUGUCCGCCAUCGUCGAGAGAGGGCGGCUGUGGCGAUCGCUUUUUCGUAGGGAAGCAAGGAGAGGAUCUCGUGGAUGAGAUGGUCAGGAAGAAGACUGAUGCGAUCCACCUUCGCCUCCUUGACCUCCUCCUCGCUUUGUCUUUGUCUUUUACUUUUCAAUGCUUCUACCGUCAUAGGAUGUUGGGCCGAGAUGAUACAUUGCAGCCAUGUUUUCUUUCUCUUUUUGUCUGGAUGAAUCGUUUAAUCUCUUUGCGAUGCUUCUCUCAUUGUCUGAAGUCCUUUCUUCUUUUUGCUUUAAUUAAUUCUUCAACGUCUCCUUGAUGCUUUUUCACAUGCACGAAACCAAACCGAAGUCACAAUUGGAAAAAAAAACUAUAGAAAUACACUACCAUUGAUAAUUCAUUAGAUACAAAAGAUUAAAGAAAUUGGAGAAAAUCUUCCUAUUAUUUUUUUUUUCACUAAAAGUUGGUCUUAUUAUGCAAUUGAAGUUAAGGAUUGCUCCAAAUGUUAGUAGAUUUAUAAGAUCUAUAUAUCUUAAGCAUGCAAAAACUUUUGUAAAACAUUUCCAUCCGAAAAACUCAAAAAGAUCGGAAAAAAAAAAAAUAUCAAUAUAGCGUCGACACGAUUCUGUGACAUGCGCCGCACGAUCUGUUACGUGUGGCACAAACAAUCAUUGGUAGUGUCUAAUCUCCUUUUACUCACAAUUUUAAGUUUUUCGAUUCCACUCUAUGUUUCUCUUUAUCUUUAGCAUGCCUAUGUUCAUUUCUUAGUUAUAAGCACCUAAUUUUAGGGAUAGAUGUAGGUUCUAUAGACGUAAGUUUUGUUCAUAUCCUAAUUUGAUUUUCAUUAUAUUAGUUUUUUUACAUAUCCACACUUGCUAUCUAUAAAAGAUGAAGUUUCUAUAUAUCUGUCAAAAGUGUAAAAAGAACUUACAUAUCUCUUCAAAUUUAAAGUCAACCUACAAACCCCUAUAAUAUCUUGCAAAAAUACCCUUCCAGUUAAAUUUCUGCCAAUCAAUAUUAAAUUCCCUAGGGUGUCCUCAAUCCUCUCUCUAUUCCCUUGUUGUUAUUAUACAGUAAAAUCUUUUUUAUUUUAUUCUCCUUUCUUUAGCAAACGCCAAAUUUUGAAGAUCUAAAGGAAAAGAAUUUUGUUGCCGGAGUUUAUUAGAACCUGAUGAUGAGAAGCACAAAUAGAUUAUCGAAAGCAUAUUCACGAUAUAAUCGAACAAAUAGAAAGAGUAUUUAAGACAAGAUCCAAGUAUUCAUACCCAAGAUUCAAUCCUACCACAAAUACCUAGAUGAAAUGAGAGUAUCAAAAGCUACAAAAAGAAGAACACCUUCAAUAUACAAAAAUGUGCUGGUACUGAAUAACAAAUUAGAGUGCAGGUUUAAAAAACUGCGAACUUUUUAUACAGGUAAUCAAUCAACAAACAUCAUUUAUAUCAUAUAGUUAAAGAAGUACGCAACCCAAUCUAAAGUAGAGAAUAUAAGAGACAGAAAAGAACAUGAGGAACAUGAGUAGCAUAAAGAAGAACUAAUAUUUUUAAAAGUAUGAAUAAUAAAAAAGAGAAUUUAUUCUAGAAUCAAUCAGUUAGGAAAAAAUAAAAGCAUAUCAUGCGUCAAAAUCAAAUCUAAACUUUUUAGAGGACAAUUUGGAGCAACAGUAAUAACCGAAAGAAGUACGACAACUAAAGAAAUUACAUGUUACUAUAGUUAAAAGGGGAAAAAAAAAGGAAAACAAAAACUUCUAGGUCUCAUCCUCCAUUAUAUCCAUUUCCUUUUCCUCUCUCUGUAAACUAAGAUUCCACAGUAAUCAAAUGAACGAAGGUAAGCUAAAUCAGAUUAUUUCAAUCUCCAUACCUUUAUGCCUUGUUCAGAUGUCGGAUGAUGAUAACUUAUUCAACAUGAAGAUUUUUCGGUGUAAUUGGAGGGUAGGAGUUUGAUUUUUGCUCCUUGAAAAGCCUUCACAUCCAUGAUGAAGUAGAAUAGCAUAUGUUAUCUACGACAUGAUUUAUCUAAUUCCUAAAAAAAUUACUUAACAGCCGAAUAUAUUAUUCCAUUCUAGAUAAUUGAUAACACUCCUAGCUUCCAAGACAAUAAAAAAUCCUCAUAUUGAGUAGCAUAUCAAUGGAUAACUUAUUACGACAUCGAGCAUAAUAAGUUAUCCUUGGAUAACUUAUUUGGUACGAGGUUUUAGUGUGAUUGUAAAAACAAGAGUUUGAUUUUCGCUCCUUGAAAGGUAUUGAUAUUCAUGAUUUGAUAGGAGAGCAUAUUUCACCUAGGAUAGCAUAAUUAGCAAUAAAUAAUGCAACUAAAAUUUCACAUUCGUGUUCACAUCUUUAUACGCCUAUGUUAUAUUUGAAUAAAAUCUGAGUUACAAAACAUAAUGGCAGUUUCAACAUGCAACUCAUAAUAAAAUAAAUGAAGAAUACAAUAAACCACCCUAUCCCCCUAAAAUAUUUAUUAACGUCCCUCUUAUCUCCCCACAAAAAACAAUCAAACUCCCCUUUAAACCGCCCUUAUCACCCUAUACUCGUAUGUGAACUUUUUAUCCUUUUUCAGAAAAACAUCACUACUUAUGUCUACCAUGAGAGAAAUAUUACUAGAUAUUCUACAUUUGUGAAGGAAUAUAUAUACACACACGCACUCUUGAACAAAAAAGAAAAGGCCAUAAGUGAGAUAAAAGGCCUACAAACAAUCAGAGCAUUCUUAAACUAGUUGAAGCAAAAAGGCCAUAAAAUCUAAACUAUGAACAUUAGGAAGUCAUAACGAAAAAGCCAUACAAAAAUCAGCUACUCCAUUAUAUCAUACUCUAUCCCAAUUCCCUAAUUUGAUUCUUUUUUUUAUGAAGAAUUCACUUAACACCAUGAAAAGCAAGAAGCAGCCAAAUCUCUUCUUUGCAGGAGAGGUAAGAUUUGAUAUUUCCAAACAAGAUUAGGUCGUGCGAAAGAUGCAUUACAAAAGGAGAAUUGGAUGCAGUUGCUCAACACUGAUGGAAUUUGGCAGUUCAUAUGGUCAAUUCGAAUAUUGCGAUUAGUGCGACGACAGAUAUAAGGCCACUGACAUAAUUUCUUACGCUGAAAAGGCUGAAAGUAACUAAGAUUGCUCGAUAAUGUAUGCUUAUUGUUAAAAAGCUGUGUCAGAAUUGCUAUUAGAGAUUUAUCUACCAUCAACACAGCGUAAUGUUACGGCCAUAGCUAGAGCAUGUCCUGAUUCAUGUACUGGAACAUGUACUGGAACAUGAAGCUGCGAAAGAGCUUAAACUGAGCAAGUUCAAGCAAUGUUGUUCACAGGAUACAUAUGGCAGUUAAAAAGUUUGAUCCCGAAAAGCUUUACAAAGUCCGAUCUUCUAAGAACUUAUCUGGCGUGUUUAUGUCGAAUUUGGUCCAAUUCUAUAGAAAAAAGCGCAAUUGUUCGAUCAGUAACUACAGCAUCAGCAAAGAAGUUCAACAAGUGUUUGCAACAUUGAUGCAUACAUUUAGUAUUAAAAAAAAAAAGGGCUUCCAUAGCAUUGCAAUUCUAUGAACUUUAAUCACUAGUAGAGGAAUAGAAAAAGGAGAGCUAACCCUGAGAUAUCGCCACCACCUCGUCCUCCUCGUCUUCGUUGUCCUCCUCGUCUUCGUUGUCCUCCUCGCGAACCAAACAAAACGAGAGAAGUGAGAAAGAGCGUGUGAGAGCGGGGUCGAACGAAACCCUUGUUAUUGCGAAACCCUAAGAUAUCGCCGCCGCCUCCUCGCGAGAGAGCAGGGUCGUACGAAACCCUAGAUAUGGCCACCUCCUCCUCCUCCUCCUCCUCCUCCUCGCGAGAGAGCGGGGUCGUACGAAACCCUAGAUAUCCUUCUCCUCCUCGUCGCGGGAGAGAGCGGUAUCGAGAGUGCGCCAAGUGCGGAGGGAGAGAGAGAGCGAAUAAGAAAAAGAGAGAGAGAGAGAGGAGAUUAUUAUUAAUACUAAUGGAAUUUAAAAUAAUUAACGUAAAUAAAAUAUUAUACUAGUAAUAAAUUUUGGAUUUAUUAAAAUAAUCUUCUUCUUUUUUUUUUUGAUAUACGAUAUGUUAUGUUAUGCACUCUCUAGACUCUUAUCGUUGAUAUUUUAUUUUGGGAUAGUUUUUGGCGUGCCCCUCUAAAAGUACAUAUUUAUAUAAACUACUGAAACUACCCGUGCAUUACGACGCUAAUAUUAUAGAAAAUAAAAGAUUGACAAAAUUAAAAUGGGCCCUGCUUUUGAUUCAGGCAAAGAGGAAUAUAGUUCGGUUCAAGCAUCGGUUCGGUUCAAAUAAUUAAAAGAAAAUUUCAGUUCAAAAAAAAAGAGCGCCGGUUUGGUUCAUGCAAAGAGAAACCUGGUUCGGUUCAAGCAUUGGUUCGGUUCAAAUAAUUAAAAGAAAAAUUAGGUUCAAAGAUAAAAACAUAUGGAUCAAUUAGUCUGGUUCGAUUCGUCUGAUUUCAUAGGGUUAGCUUUUCUUUUUCUAUACCUCUAUAGUGAUUAAAGUUUAUAGAAUUGCCAUGUUAUGGAACCCUUUUUUUCUCUCCUUUGUUGUUUUUAACCAAAUGCAUGCAUCAAUGUUGCGACACAGCUUUCCUCUUCAUAUACCUGUAGCCAUAACACUACACUAUGUUGAUAGUAUAUAAAUAAACAUACAUCACUGAGGAAUCUUAGUUACUCUUAGCCUCUUUUGGCAUAAUGAAUUAUGUCGGCGGCGAUAUCGUUAGCAUCAAUAACAUUACUCUAGUUGAUCGUAUGAACUGCCAAAUUCCAUCAAUUGGUUGCUUUUUGCGGGGAGGUAAGAGGGGCAUUAAUAUAUGUUGAUAGGGGAUAGGGUGGUUUACCGUGUUCUUCAUUUAUUUUAUUAUGAGUUUCGUGUUAAAAGGUACCUUUUUGUUUCAUAAAUUUGAGCUUUUAUUCAAUAUAAUAUAGGCGUCUAAGAAUAUGAACACGAAUGUCAAAAUCCUUUUUUUCAAUCAUAAAUAUCAAUACCUUCCAAGGAGCGUAAGUCAAACUCCUUUUUUACAAUCACAUUAGAAAAUCCUCGCACCGAAAUAAGUUAUCCAAAAAUAACUUAUUUUGUUGGAUGUCGGAAUUAGUUAUCCAGUGAUAUCCUAUUCAAUAUGAGGAUUUUUUAUUUUGAUUUGAAGGUAGGAUGUUGUCAACUAUCUAGAAUGGAAUAAUAUAUUCAGUUGUUAAUUUAUUUUUUUUUUUUUGGAAUUAAAUAAGUCAUCUUGUAGAUAACAUAUGCUGUUCUACCUAAUCAUGAAUGUGAAUGCUUAUCAAGGAGGAAAAAUCAAACUUCUACCUUCCAAUUACACCAAAAAAUCUUCAUGUUGAAUAAGUUAUUCGAUGAUAACAUAGUCCAACAUCCGAACAAGGCAUAAAGUUAUGAUGACUGAAGAAAUCUGAUUUGGGCCAUUUGAUCCACCUCAGUUCAUUUGAUUAUUGUGCAAUCUUAGUUUAUAAAGAGAGGAAAAAGAAAUGGAUAUAAUGGAGGACGGGACUUUGUAGGUUUUAUUUAUAGUAGUUUGUAAUUUCUCUAAUCAUACUUCUUUCUGUUUUUACUGUUGCUCCAAGUUAUUCUUUAGAAAGUUUAGAUUUGAUUUUGAUGCAUGAUAUGCAUCUUUUUUUAUCCCUAAUUAAUUAAUACUAGAAUAAAUUCUCUCUUUUUUUAUUAUUCGUAUUCAUACUUUAAAAAAUAUUACUUUUGCUUUAUGCUGCAACGACCCUCAUGUUCCGUCUCUUUCAUUCUCCAAUUUAGAUUGGUCUGCAUACUACUACAACUAUACAACGGAAGACAGUGAUGGUGUAUCAACAAGAUGCUCAUCUCGGCCCGAGUCACUUCAAGUUGUCGGCACCAGGACUUCAGACUUUGGUGUGGUUCGGCCCACCACCGCAUUCCACCACUAUCGACUCCGUCCCGGCUUCUCUUGUCUCUACCUUCCUCAUACCUAUCAACUUUCGGCGCUCUUACAUGGACUUACUGUACAAUGGCUCUUUGAGUACCACAUUUACCAAGCUUCAUGUUAAUCGGCUGGUUGUGUUGUACAAAUCUAUCGAGGUAUGUAUGAUCUCAAAGUUGUGCAUGAUUGCUAACUAAACUGAAUUCUGAUAUUGUAUUAGACUAUAAGCUUGUUCGCAUAAAAUUAAUGUGUUCAUGCUACAUAAUGCAGAUAUUGAGUGAAUUUAUUUCCGAUUAGCGCGACCAACCGAAUCCACCGGCUCCAAACUAUGGAAAUCUCGAGCAUUUGGAAAUAUUGGCUAACUUUGCGGGAUUCGAUUCGCUGGGUGUUGCCUUCUUGCUCAAGCACUCCUGUAAACUCAGGACGUUGGUUGUUGCCUUCAAUUUGGGAUUUGAACAGAAUAUUGUAAGUCAAUCGGAAUCGUUAUAGAUUUGUUCACCGAAAAAAUCAUGGAAAACAACUGUUUUUCCAGGGUCAUAGUUUUUGUUUCUGGAUGAAAUCCGAAAAACAACAAGUAGACCUUUCCAUGAAAUCAGGGGGAAAAAAAGGAACUUACUUUUUUUUGGAAAAGCAAUUAGAUGAAAAAUACUCUUCUGAUCCUUUAGCCCCCGUUUGGUUGGGGGUUAAGGGAUGGAAUAACUCCUGAACCCCAUAUUAUUCCCAAACACCCCCAAUUGGUUGGGGGUUAAGGGAUGGAAUAACUCCUGAACCCCCAUAUUAUUCCCAAACACCCCCAAAAAUGAGAAUGAGCUAUCCCGGGUUAGCUGGGUUAGCUAACCCCACCAAACCCCAACCAAGCACUAUUUUCACUAUUCUGGACUAACUGUAACUCCCAACCAAACACAAAAAUAUUGUAACCGCAUCUUAACCCUAUUCCUGUAAUAACUAGUUUUUUCUUAAUUCCGAACCAAACGGUAAGCUGUAUAUAUCUGUAAUCAAAACGUUAUCUAAUUUGUCGUCUUUUGUUUCUUUGGUCUCAGGAUUAUGCUAAUUAUUUCGACGCAAAAGGCGGUUUCGGCCGAGGAGGUUACUGGGAUUCCCAUGGGAUGUCGCUCGAGCUGUUGGUCGAAAUAUCAAUCUACAAGCCUUUAGGGCAGCGGUAUGAAAACGACUUUCUGGAGUUCUUAUUUCGAGUUGCGACUUCAUUGACAAAGAUGACCGUCACCUUUGAUUCCUAUAAAGCUAAUUAUGGAGAGACUUUAAAGGUGAUUAAGCAACUGCGGCACACUUUUCCACAUGUUAAAAUUCUGGUUCCAUAAUUUUAUUUUCCUCUUUUGAGAAACUUUGCUUUUUAGUUAGGACCUAUUUAUAUUGAUGUCCGCUCCAUUAUCUAAAGUUGUAGUUUGGUUUUGCCUUUAAUUAUCUUUUGCUUGACCCAGAGAAGAUGUUCAGAUACGGUGGAUGGUAAAUUUGAGCUUAGCAGAUUUGUAAAAAAAUUCUAUUUUUAGAGAACCACUUUUUUUAUAGUUUUCGUCUUUUCGGAUAAAAUUCUGGAAAAAGAAAUUUUUAAGAAAAUUAUGUUUUUUUAGAUGCACUUAGUGGGGAGCAUCGCACUGAGAAGCUUCUUUUGCGUAUUGAUCAUCUUGCACAUCCAAAAUGUCUAUUUUUUUUUUCUGAAAAAGAUAAAUAAACCUGAAGAACUGAGAUAUUGUAUAAUUUUGUCAAUUGUUAAAUAUUAUAAUUGGGAACUUGCAAAUUUGUAAAUUUAUUGCUGGAGUAGAAUGGUUUAAUUUAUUUUUAUUUUGUUAUUAUGGGGUUUAAAAAAGUACACUUAGUUAUUUUAUAGUUUAGCAUAUUUUUAUUUUGUUAUCCUGUGUUUUAAAAACUUUAGUUAUAUUUAACUAUUUUAUGAUUAUUUAAAAGUUUUAUUUUGACAUCUUAUUUGAUACUAAUAAACUUAUAAUAUAAUUAAGUAUAAUUAUGCCUUUUUAAAUGCUUGCCCAAUAUCAAAAAAAAUAGGGAUAAUUAUCUAUAUACCUCUCAAAACUUUGAAAAUAUUUUAUCUAUUCCUAUAUUUUUUUUUCUUUUCAAUAUAUUUCUCAUAUGUUCCUCCGUUAUUUCUAAAUAUUUCUAUAGUUAUCAUCAGUUAAGUUAACUUGGGUUAAACAUGAGUUAAAUAUCUAUUACAGUUAAAAAAAAUUAAAAUAUUAUUUUUAGCCUUAACUUAAGGGCAAAUAAAAAAUGUUGGAGAUAGUAAAAAAGUAUAUUGGAAAGACUAAAAAAUAAAAUACUUUUUGUGUCCUUAAUUUAAGAGCAAAUAAAAAAUGUCAGUGAUGGUAGAGGAUAUAUUUGAAAUGGCAAAAUAGUAAUUUUACAGAUAUAAUAAAGUUCAUUAACAGAUUUUAACUCUACAGUACCAGCACAUCUUUCUGUUGUGAAGUUGCGCUUCGUUUUGUAGUUUUUGACACUCUCAUCUCAGGAAUAAUUACGUGGAUAAUAACUUAAAUACUCUUUUUUUGUGGAUUCUUCUUAUUAAUCAUAUUUGAAUAAGCUUCCACAAACAAAAUUCUUUUCCCUUCGAUCUUCAAAAUUUGUCAAUGAGAAUGACUAUGCACUAUAUUGAGGAAAAAUAUGUUGUAACAACACCAAGUCAUUCUAGUUGUCAAGCAAGUUUCUGUAACAACUUAAGAAUUUACAAAAUUUGAAUUGAUUCUAUUAUAAUUUAAACUAAUGCAUUACAAUAUAAAUAACUAACUUUCAAGAGAGGACACAAAAUAAUUUUUCAAAUUCUUUAUUCUCUUUACACACUAACAUGGAUAGUAAUCAAAUAAUCAAACUGAAAAUAGAAAAAAUAUAAAACUUUUUUGAAAAUAAUCUAAAAAUGCAAAAACGAAGGCUGAAAUGGUUGGAUUUGAGGCCCAAGCUCAGUAGAAAAAGCUUUACUGUUCCACUUGUAGAUUUCGAAAAGUGUUUUCCUAAUUGGGAUUGCAAAUUGAAAUUGCAUACUCUAUGAAAAAUUAUGAUCAUUUAAAGAUUUACCCCGUUGAUUGUAAAAUUAUGGAACUCACUGUGAUUUUUGGCAAUUUUUACGAAAACUCUAAUGCUAAAUUGGCCGCAUCAUUAGAACUCACGAAACAAUUAGAAUAUGUUUGUAUUUCUCAUGUUUGCAGGAAAAAAAAAAAAACAACAAUAUCAACCCAACCUACUCGGGCUCAAGAAAUAGUCAGCGUAUAUCUCUCAUUCACAUGUUUCAUCUGCUACUUGCAGAAAUGAAAUAGCAACGACACCCACCACCAGCAGUAGCAAAAACAACAAGAACAACAACAUAGACUGAGAAGACUAUUGUGGCUCAUGAAACAGUCAAAAAAUAUUUUCAGCUGCUCCUUAUAGAAACGAAACAAUAACACCAACAAUAUUUACUCACAAAUUUAUCUGGCAUCACAAAACAGUCUCACAAAACAAUCAGGAAUGAAUGAAAUAUUAGGUAUUUCUCCGGUACUCAAAUAUUGCUAUAACAUCUCCUCAUACUCAUCGCAGAAACAAAGGCAUAUACAUGAAUAGAACUAUAAGCAAAAAGAAGUAUCCAUAAAUCAAUAUCUAAAAGAAUUUCAUAGUUUGGGGGAAUCAAUAUCUACAAAACAUCACUGUGUGGAAAAUCAAUAUCUACAAAACAUCACUGUGGGGAAAUCCAUCUCGUACGGAGUAACAUGAUGAAGAAUAUCCUGACCCUCAAAUCGAGUCCUCCUCUCGAGUCGUCCAGUAGUCAAAUGGAACGUAUAAACCGAGCACCCUGAAUCAUCUUCCAGGCGCAAGAUGAUCAUGUCGCCGCGCUCACCGAAUCCUAAGAUGCUCACCCGGUAGGCAGGAGGAAGCAUGUCAUUAUCAGGAACUACCGGCACUGCGAUCUGAUCCAGCACUGCCGAAUCAAGCUGGAUAGACAGAUCAGUAACGUGCACCUCAGACCAAAUAGUUGCACCCCUCUCAUCAAAUGUCACCACAGAUACGUGAAUCGAAAGCUCACCCAAACAAAAUAAGCGCACAAAGCAAAGGCGCCCACACUCCGUCCUCGCUAAAGAAAACAACCUGAGAGACUCUGGAAUGGCAAUCGAAGGAUCGCCGAUCAUGACGAUCCGUGAUGCUGCCACAUCGAGAGCUAGAACUCUCAUACCAUAGCAUCUGUACAAACUACCAUCGACGAGUACGAGAGGAUGAAAGAAGAAAUCAACAGGUACAUGAACUGUGCGACGUAUGCGGGUCCGAGUCCAGAUGCCAGUGAUAGAGUCAUAUGUAAGUAAUCGAAGAUCAUAGGCAUACCUCUUCACAAGGACAAGUAAUCAAAAAUCAUAGUGAGGAGGCUCUCCAGGCAGCAGAGCAGCAAAAUAGAUAAUUGAAGGACCGACCAACUCUCUGGCAAGACAAUAAGCGUACUAUAGCUAAGUAAUGGAAUGUAAUAUGUGAACAGAAAGUCAUCGACAAAUCCCACAACGUGCGUCAGUAGAACACAUUCGAACCGCGAAUCUAUCACUUGACAAAGAAAAGGAAUGUGGCCCUCACAGAGGAGACGUAAAUUGAAUGCUAACCCCAUAUCUCGGGCUCCAAUGUAAUGGAAGCGACGGUCGCUAAAGAGUUCGACGAGAGGUGAGGUGUAAUAGUUCGAUCGACAGUCAUCAAUAAAUGCAGGUUGAGCAAUAACAUGGCUUCAGUCCAAGCAAACCAUGCGACAUCUGAUAAUAUCUCGAAGCGACAAAUAAAGAAAGAUGCGAUGCAAGAGAUCCGAAGGAAAGUAUGGCGUAUGUACUACAUCAACCUGCAAAAGAUCAGAAGAAUAGAUUGGAAUAAUUUACAUAUGGAAGAAUUAUUUCUGUGUAAUAAAUUUUCAAUAUUCACAAAUCCAGACCACACUGAAUUGAACAAGAAAGAGAAUCAAGUAAAGCCAAAGUAAUGGUCAAAUCGUAAUAACUUAUUUAAUAAUUACUAAAUUAAUAUAAUUAGUUUCAUUAACCGAAAGCUAAACUUGAUAGGCAGAAACAUUCUAAACAAAUUAAAUAAUGCCUCUGCGGUAUUACAAAUUUUAUUUAUUUAUUUUUUACGAAAAUUAGGGAAAUGUGACAUCCCUAGUAUUUAGAAUAGUCUUAUAUAUAAGGUAUAAUAAGAUUAAAACUCUUAACCCAACUAUAAAAUAGUCAUAUGUUUCACAACCCUAAUUUCGUUCUCGAAACUUUAUUACACAACAAUUUUUCAUAAUUCCUACCUUCUUUUGGUUGUACAUCAAAACCAACCAUAAACAUAGCAUGACAGCCUCCUUUAGCUCCUGAUGUUUACAACUUUGUUAGUUAGAUUAGGAAAAAAACAAAAAAACAAAGAGACUUUGAUUGGCUUCUAUUACCUUCAAUAUGUAUUCUCUUCGUUAGCUAGUAGACAGUGAGCUUGUGGCUUUAUUAUACUGAAAGCUCACAUUUUUAACUAAACAUGUUCAUAUCAAGUACAAGAUAAUUCGUAAUUUCCUAAUGUGAUCUUGAAACUAGUGCAUUGCCAUUACUCUAUCAACCUAUUCACACUAAAAUGCUCAUAAAAUAGCUUACAUAUCUUGUCAGAUAAAACAUAAUUGUCAGAUAAUUUUUACAGAUAUAACAAAGUUCAUUAACAGAUUUUAACUCUACAGUACCAGCACAUCUUUCCGUUGUGAAGUUGCGCUUCGUUUUGUAGUUUUUGACACUCUCAUCUCAGGAAUAAUUACGUGGAUAAUAACUUAAAUUCUCUUUUUUUGUGGAUUCUUCUUAUUAAUCAUAUUUGAAUAAGCUUCCACAAACAAAAUUAUUUUCUCUUCGAUCUUCAAAAUUUGUCAAUGAGAAUGACUAUGCACUAUAUUGAGGAAAAAUAUGUUGUAACAACUUCAAGUCAUUCUAGUUGGCAAGCAAGUUUCUGUUACAAUUUAAGAAUUUACAAAAUUUGAAUUGAUUCUAUUGUAAUUUAAACUAAUGCAUUAAAAUAUAAAUAACUAACUUUCAAGAGAGGACACAAAAUAAUUUUUCAAAUUCUUUAUUCUCUUUACACACUAACAUGGAUAGUAAUCAAAUAAUCAAAAUGAAAAUAGAAAAAAUAUAAAACUUUUUUGAAAAUAAUCUAAAAAUGCAAAAACUAAAAAUGCAAAAACGAAGGCUGAAAUGGUUGGAUUUGAGGCCCAAUCUCAGCAGAAAGAGCUUUACUGUUCCACUUGUAGAUUUCGAAAAGUGUUUUCCUAAUUGGGAUUGCAAAUUGAAAUUGCAUACUCUAUGAAAAAUUAUGAUCAUUUAAAGAUUUACCCCGUUGAUUGUAAAAUUAUGGAACUCACUGUGAUUUUUGGCAAUUUUUACAAAAACUCUAAUACUAAAUUGGCCGCAUCAUUAGAACUCACGAAACAAUUAGAAUAUGUUUGUAUUUCUCAUGUUUGCAGGAAAAAAAAACAACAACAAUAUCAACCCAACCUACUCGGGCUCAAGAAAUAGUCAACGUAUAUCUCUCAUUCACAUGUUUCAUCUGCUACUUGCAGAAAAGAAAUAGCAACGACACCCACCACCAGCAGUAGCAAAAACAACAAGAACAACAACAUAGACUAAGAAGACUACUGUGGCUUACAAAACAGUCAAAAAAUAUUUUCAGCUGCUCCUUACAGAAACGAAACAAUAACACCAACAAUAUUUACUCACAAAUUUAUCUGGCAUCACAAAACAGUCUCACAAAACAAUCAGGAAUGAAUGAAAUAUUAGGUAUUUCUCCGGUACUCAAAUAUUGCUAUAACAUCUCCUCAUACUCAUCGCAGAAACAAAGGCAUAUACAUGAAUAGAACUAUAAGCAAAAAGAAGUAUCCAUAAAUCAAUAUCUAAAAGAAUUUCAUAGUUUGGGGGAAUCAAUAUCUACAAAACAUCACUGUGUGGAAAAUCAAUAUCUACAAAACAUCACUGUGGGGAAAUCCAUCUCGUACGGAGUAACAUGAUGAAGAAUAUCCUGGCCCUCAAAUCGAGUCCUCCUCUCGAGUCGUCCAGUAGUCAAAUGGAACGUAUAAACCGAGCACCCUGAAUCAUCUUCCAGGCGCAAGAUGAUCAUGUCGCCGCGCUCACCGAAUCCUAAGAUGCUCACCCGGUAGGCAGGAGGAAGCAUGUCAUCAUCAGGAAUUACCGACACUGCGAUCUUAUCCAGCACUGCUGAAUCAAGCUGGAUAGACAGAUCAGUAACAUGCACCUCAGACCAAAUAGCUGCACCCCUCUCAUCAAAUGUCACCACAUAUACGUGAAUCGAAAGCUCACCCAAACAAAAUAGCGCACAAAGCAAAGGCACCCACACUCCGUCCUCGCUAAAGAAAACAACCUGAGAGACUCUGGAAUGGCAAUCGAAGGAUCGCCGAUCAUGACGAUCCGUGAUGCUGCCACAUCGAGAGCUAGAACUUUCAUACCAUAGCAUCUGUACAAACUACCAUCGACGAGUACGAGAGGAUGAAAGAAGAAAUCAACAGGUACAUGAACUGUGUGACGUAUGCGUGUGCGAGUCCAGAUGCCAGUGAUAGAGUCAUAUGUAAGUAAUCGAAAAUCAUAGGCAUACCUCCUCACAAGGACAAGUAAUCGAAAAUCAUAGUGAGGAGGCUCUCCAGGCAGCAGAGCAGUAAAAUAGAUGAUUGAAGGACCGACCAACUCUCUGGCAAGAACAAUAAGCGUACUAUAGUUAAGUAAUGGAAUGUAAUAUGUGAACAGAAAGUCAUCGACAAAUCCCACAACGUGCAUCAGUAGAACACAUCCGAACCGCGAAUUUAUCACUUGACAAAGAAAAUGAAUGUGGCCCUCACAGAGGAGACGUAAAUUGAAUGCUAAGCCCAUAUCUCGGGCUCCAAUGUAAUGGAAACGACGGUCGCUAAAGAGUCCGACGAGAGGUGAGGUGUAAUAGUUCGAUUGACAGUCAUCAAUAAAUGCAGGUUGAGCAAUAACAUGGCUCCAGUCCAAGCAAACCAUGCGACAUCUGAUAAAUAUUAUAUUGCAAAAUCUUUAAGAGAUAUUUUUGGAGGUUGGGCCAUCAAAAGUAAUCCAAAUUACUUUUGGAACGACGAUCAAAAAUUUGCGGAUCAAAACAAUUCAUGAUGUCGCUACAUCAAAAUCUAAAACUUUCAUACCAUAAUAUUCGUAUAAACAACCAUCGACAAAUACAAGAGGAUGAAGGAAGUAUCCUCGAGAGACACAAAAUGUGCUAUGAAGGAAGUAUCCUCGAGGGACACAAAAUGUGCUGUGCUAUGAAGGAAGUAUCCUCGAGGGACACAAAAUGUGCUAUGGACAAAGGUGCUAAUUCAGCGGCCGGUAACAGAAUAAUAUGUUUGUAAUAGAAAAUCAUAGUGAGCCACAUCAAGUCCUAAAACUCUCAUACCAUAAUAUUUAUAUAAACAACCAUCAACAAGUACAAGAAGAUAAAGGAAGUAUUCUCAAGGGACACAAAAUGUACGAUGGACAAAGGUGCUAGUCCAGAGGCCAGUAAAAAAAUAAUAUGUUUGUAAUAAAAAAUCAUAAUAAAGCUUCAAAAAAAAAUCGAAAACUAAUAAGAAGAGACUCUUCAAACAAUAGAGUAGCAAAGUAGAUAAACGAAGAAGAUAUCAGUAACUAGUUAGCAAAAAUAAUGAUCUCACUAUAGCUACUUAGUGGAAUGUAGUAUGUGAACUGAAUACUAAACUCGUAUAAAUCAUUAUAAGCAUCUCCGCUAUAUAUAAGUAAAAUACAUCCCAAUCGCAAAUCACUCGUGAAUCACUCACCACACAAUAUCUUGCAGCCUAAUAUAAUGGAAACAAAGCCUGUGAUACAUGUUGCUGAAGAGUCGAAUAAAAAUAAUGUAAUCAUAUACAUGUCAUUUUAAGUUGCAUGUUAGUGGUUUUUUUUUUUGUAUAUUGAGAUGUUUCUAGGUUUUCUGGGUCCUCUCUUCUCCUGCUGCUUCCUGGGUCAUCUUGCAGAGUAGCUCUGUCUCGAAACCAUGGCCGAAUCCUCCUCUUCUUCUGCCUCUGUUCCAUCAUCUUCUAAGUCGCAAGGUAUAUAUGUAUAAUAUUUUCGAAGACCUUCACCCUCUUCUCUGCUCUAAAAAGUUUCUCUUAUUGAUUUUAUCUGUUCUAUCUAUAUUAGGCUUUUCGAACUUCUCUCUCUUUUUUACCGGUUCUAAAUUUCGUUCUUAUGUCGUUAAAUUUUUUUAUUUUUGUUGUUGUUUUAUUUUAGGCUUUCAGAUUUCUCUUGUUGUACUUUUUAGGUUGUAGAUUUCAUAGUAUUGGUUCCAAAUGAUUUUAUAUUUUGAUAGUUUUUUUUGUUCUGUGGAUUAAAAAAAAAGAGUCAGGCUGCUUUGCUAUCAAUAGUAAAACCCUUUUUUUGCUAUCAAGUUUUUAACCCUUGGAUGAAAAAUUGUAGGGUUAAGAUGAUAUUAGUCAGUUAGAGUUGAGUGGUCCCCCUAGGGUUGAAUGGUCCCCACUAUGUUAUAGUAUUUAAUCCAAUGGUUAGAAAUGAUGAAAAGAGUUGAUCCAAAAGCUAAAAAACUGGUAGCAACAAUGAGAUUUUGCUACUAAUAAUAGUCCAGUCCAACUCUCUCUCUCUCUCUCUCUCUCUAUAUAUAUAUAUAUAUAUAUAUAUUUUUUCAUAUAUUGAUUUUUGAGUUAAAUAAUAAUAAUAAUAAGCAUACUUAAUGUUUGGUCAAAUUUAUAUAUAGCUAAAGUCUUUACAAUGGAAGACGUGGAAAAAGCUCUCGGACCAAGAAAAACGGGAGAGAUUUCUCAUGAAAUGAGAAUUGUAUGGGUCAUCUAGAUUACUGUUCUAGAUGAUGAUGGAAAUAAAACUUCUGCUACGGGGGGAACCGGAUUCUGUAUCCAUCCAGAUGGUUAUAUUUUCACGGCCGCGCAUCUAUUUCUUGAGAACUUCACAAAAAUAGAAAUUCGAAACUUACAUAGCUUGUCAGAUAAAACAUAGUUGUCCAAUAAAUUAUAUUUUUAUUUUUGACAUGUUCUUAGAUUAAGCUUUGUCUUCAAUGCCUACUCCCAGGUACAAACUAUAACAACAAACAAACAUCAUGUUUAAUAUUGCUAUGUAUUUUCUUUUUGUUCUUUCUUUUGGCCAACACACAUUUACACCAAGUGCUAAGGGCAGAUUCUUUUGUUUGGAAGUUUUAACAGAGAGCAAAUUAAUAACUCCUUCAACAAAAGAUCAAAUUACUGAAGUAUUUGGAGAUUACUUCAAUGACUGAUGAUACUACUUGCACUAAUUUCAUGUUUCAAAUAGUACACCAUCAAAUAAAUAGAAAACAAAUUCUAGUGCACAACACCAUCAAAUAAAUAGAAAACCUUAACAAAUUCUAGUGCACUACAUACUCGCGGCUUUAAUUUACACCUACAUCAUUAUUAACAGGCCUAUCAAACUUACCAUUACCAAGAGGAUACAAUAACUAAGGUUAAUUUGCACAUUCUAGUUGCAUGCAAGCAAGUUAUUCAAAAGGAACACAAGUUUAGGGGCACGUAGGUCGCCAUAGAAUGGUUUGGCGCAUGGGUUCAUGGAACGACCAAGCAUGAUGAGACUUGAGAAAACCAUUUCUACUCAAAUUUGAUCCAAACCCUAAAUUAACCCUAAAGAUUUCUUGUGUGGUUAGAACUUUGAUCGAUCUCCUCAUUUAUCAACGCUUCUUGGCAAAUGAAAUACAUAUAUGAAAUCCAAACCCUAAAAUCGAGACCCUAAACCUAAAUUAACCCUAAAUUGAAGAGAUAAACCCUAAAUUAACCCUAAAUGGAAGAGAUAGAUGGAGAAAGGAGAGCCCGAACUACUCGGUUUGGUUCGCUCUGAUUCGGUUUGGUUCGUUCCAAUAUCCAAUUAAUUACUCACAUCUUAUUCGAUUUUUUGGUUCGAUUUGCUAUUUAGUUUAGAAAUCAAAAUUGAACCGCAUUGGAAAACCGAAAUUUCUUAAAUAUUGCAAACUGAACCGAACCAGAAAUAUUUUAACCGAACCAAGACACCUACCUGGCACAAGUGAUUCCCGCGCAAAAGUAUGAAAAUGCUAUUUAGUAUCUGUAGGUUUUAAUUAUUGCAAUUGAGUUUUUUGUAUUUAUUUUGGCUUAACCAUAAAAACACCCCGCACUUUAUCUCGUUUCUUAAUAAAUUAACCCGUAUAUAAAAAAUUCCAACAAUGUCCCCCUGCACUUUUGAACCGUCUCAAAUAGGCCCUUCUAUUAAAUUUUUUGUUAUAACUAACGACCAAAAAUGGCAUGGCAUUUGCACCACAUGAGAAGAAUAAAAAUGCACAAUGAUCCCUCAAAUCUAGCACAUCUUGAGCUAAACUCUUGGUUAUAACGUGAAUUUAAAAUCUAAAAUUAGAAUCCGAAUUUCAAGUUUAAAUUGACAUUUGAAUUUUAAAUUUUUAAAUCUAAACUUUUAUUUGAAUGUCGAAUUUAAAUUUCAAAUCUAAAUUUAAAAUGUUUAAAUUUAAUUUCAAAUCUAAAUUUAUAUUUAAAAUUUAAAAUUUAAAAUUCAAUUUUAGAUUUCAAUUGAAAUUUAGUUUUGAAUUCAACUCCUAAAUUUAAAUUUUAAAUUUUAAAUCAAAACCUAAAAUUGAACUUGAAAUUUAAAUCCAAAAUUUACAUUUGAAUCUAGAGCUAAAUCCAAACUUUGAAUUUAAAUUCAAAUUUAAAAUUUGAAUCUCAAAUUUAAAUUUUAAAAUCUAAGUUUUAAUUUCAUUCAUAUCUAAAUUUAGAUUUGAAAUUUAAAUUUAAUUUAAAUUUGAAAUUAAAUUUGAAUUCAAAAUCUAUAUUUGAAUUUGAAAUUCAUACUAAAAAAAAAAAUCUAAAGUGAUCUGAAAUUCUAAUCAAAGAUUAAAAUCUAAACUCAAAAGUUGAAUUCAAAAUUGUCACGCCCGGGGUCCCUUUAGGUUAAAAACACAGCGGAAAUUUUUUUUUUUUUUUUUGCAAAUCUGACCCCAGGGUAUGCCAGAUCCGCCACAAAUACAGGGAAUCCACUGUUCACACGGACAGAGUCUCCCCUGUAUUUGCACGGCGUCGCACAAGUACAAGAGUAUAGCCAGAAAACAACCACAACCAAAUGAAUAUAAAGAUAACUAUACAUUCAUACACUCACCAUUCACAUCACAGUUUUACAUUCAGUGUUUAAAUAGAAAUUCACGAAAAUUCUUUUGAAAACUGUUCCCUACACGGAAACCUUUAUUCUUUAAGAAACGCUACCACGAGGGGUAGAAAACCUUUUAUUUCAAGAAAACACAAUUCCUUUAUUAACAUUCCAAAACCAACUGAAAACUCAGAUAUUCAAAUAAUAAAACAAAACUGAACCAUGUAAACCGACUAAGCUAUAUAUAUCCACAGAAAUAAAAAGGGUAAUAGCUAAAUCGAAAUAACCUGAGUCGGAAGCUCUAUCGACCGCUACACACGUACCUCACGAUCCGUCCGACUACUCAACGCCCGCGAUACCUGAAAAAUGGUGGGGGAGGUGAGAACAUGUAAACAUGUCUCCCCUCCCAGUGGGUACGCAAGCCGAAGAAGGCGAGGAGUACUCACCGGAUCAGGAGAACUAUACAACAACAUGGCUCAGUGGAAAUAAACAAGGUAAUGAGCAGAUAUACAAUAGCGAUAAACUGAAAGGAAGUAAGAACUAUACUGAAUAAACGGCUACCGCUACUGUAACUGGAACAGAAAGCAUACAUGAAUAUCUACUAUAGUAGCAAGACAACUAUAAAGUAAGAUCUGUAAGUAUGCAUGCAAUGACUGCUACUAUAGACAUAUGCGUCAACCGGUCAAGAAGUCCAAAAGUACCCAAUCUGAAACCAAUGCUCUCUUGGUCAGCACCGCAGACCUCAAGCCAAUGCCCUGGAGGUCCGCACCGCAACACCUCCCGACAGUACCAUUGCCGCUCUAAUAUGCAUAUAACCCCUCUAGGGCUCACGGGUUGUCACCAUUCAACCACUUUUCCGGAAAAGAACACUCCUUGCGGUGGAUCAGAUCGCCAGUGUUCGUGAAAUGCGACGAGUAUCGGGCAAUCAAUGCAAUAUGCUCAAUAAUCAACCGUCGGCAACCAACCGACAAUCCUGCCCCCCAGGGCCCAUCGACCGCAUGGGUCAUCAUGUAAACAAAUCGACCAACCAGGUCGUAAGUAAAGGGGUAUGAAACUCGACCAACCAGGUCACCAGUACAGGAUAUGAAACUCGACCAACAAUGUCACAAGUAUAAGAUAUGAACUACCGCCGGCCACUAGCCAACAAUCUAACCCCUCAGGGUACACUAACCUCAACGGUCAUCGGACAACAGAAGUCAAAGGAUCAACCAACCAGGUCACUGAUACGAAGUACAAGAAACCACUAACCAGGUCACAAGUGUAGGAGAUGCAACGACGACCAACCAGGUCAUGAAGAUUAUAUACAGAUAAAGUCUACUCUACUCUUACACAUGAUACUACACCUGGCAACAACUAAGUAGAGUAAUAAGGAAACAGUAUGGGUGCAAGGCUCAACAUAUAUAUGGUAAAAGAUAUAAACAACAAGGGUAAAGGAAACGUCACCGAGCGUGCACCACUGUACCGACGUCGGAUCGAAGUACCCACCUGUACAACUGUCGCGCCUGACUCCUAACUGCAAAAGAACGUCAACGGGACCUAGGGAGGGUCCACUGGGUUAGUGUCUAACCCACAACUAAGAAACCCUAAAAGCAUAAUCCCAUAAAUAAACCACUGAAUACACAACCCACAGACAAUCCCACGGAGAUCGGUUUCCCAAUACCGAUUACCGUAACUCGCCGGAAGUCCCGAAAACCACACCGCGACGCCGUCGGGACCCACUAAGUGUCCCGAAACUCACCGACUCGUGUCACGAGUCACCCACUGUCCCAAAACACUCCAGUUUGGAUGUUUUGGUAGUAAACACAAGAUAACACCCCUACACAAUUGUCGCCGGAUAAUUGUGCGAAUUCGGGUUCCCGAAAGUGUCUAUUUCGACACCGGAACCCACCGUCGCUCACCCAUCAUCACCGAACCCACAAAGUGAUGAUGGUGACCAGCCAACAAGGCUUAGCGACCACUCACAGAGUAACCAAACGACGUCGGAAGAAAUUCGAACCGAAACCGCGUUCUUUCGGCGAAUUUCGCCGAAAAACGCGCCGGAAUCGACUUUUCGAUUUCCGCGAAAGCUACAAGAUCAUGGACAACCAGUCCAGAGGUCAAACACACUCAUACACACUGCCCACAGUAGCCACAAGGUGCACAAUUGCACAAAAGCCCCUAUAUUUACAUAAAAUCCCAACAUUUUAUGUAAAUCGGACGAUAACAUGGCUCGUUCACGCAAACCGAGGACUUCCAAGGUCUACAGAGACACGUACUGACAGGUCUCGAUGUACUGGAGGCUGUGCUCAUGAUCUGGAGCACAAUGGCUCACUGUGGGAAGCUCGGGAGCAACCUGAAGUUCUGCGAACAGCGCGCAGUCGGGGAAGAUCGCGCCAAAUAGGGCUCACCGGACACUGUUGAUCCAAAGUGAGGUGAGCACUGUGAUCAGUACUGACCAACGAUCACCGUGCUCACCUCCGGAGGCAUCAGGACAGCCUCGGAUCGCCGGAUAAGCGUGCGCAAACCCAAAACAGCAGCCAAACAGGCUCGAUAGGGUCGACAAUGCCGAAACAGCUGAACGGAGUCUCCCCGACAGAAUCUAAGGUGAGCACGAUGAUCAGUAAUUUGCUACGAUCAUCGUGCUCCCUUCCGCAGAGAUCGGGGAGGCUCGGGAAGCUCAGAACACAAAACAUCUAAAAUAGGCCCUAUUUCGGCUUGGCCGGAGCAAGGUUGCUCCGGCCGGCUUCCGGCAGCACGGCGGCAUGCGCGGCGGCCAGGGACGGGUGCGGGGGAGGUGAGGAGUACCGUGCUCACCUCGGUUGGCGGCUGGAAGCGGCGGAGGCGGCGGCGGAACAAGGCAUGCCCGCACGAGCUAGGGCACGGGUCCGGGGGGUGCUGCGGCCACGGCGGCGGCCGGGGCAGGUCGGGGAUGUCCGGGGGUGCGCGUCGGAGGUCUCCGGAGGUGUCUGGAGGGCGGUACUGCCGGCAGGGAGCGGCGGAGGCGCGCGGAGGCAGAGAUCUCCCAAGCUCGGCCCGCUCCGGGUCUGGGCGGCUGCGGCGAGCCCAGGCGGCACCACAGCCAACAUGGGCGGCGGGGAACGGCGGCGACGGCGCCGGAGGUCGAGGGGAAGGCGGCGCGCCCGGCCCAGGGCGGCGGCGGCGCACGGAGGCAGUGCGGGUCCAAGCUUGGCCCGCACGCGCUCCAGAUGGCCGCAGAGAGAUCCGGCGGUGGCCGGCGGCGCGCGGGGACGGCCGAUGACGGCACCGGAGGGGAAGCCUCGGCCAAUAAUAUAGGCUCAAUCCAGGGGUGACUUCCCGAAGUCAAGAGGCCGCGGAGGGUGGAGAAGGUGGUGAUGGAGAUGAUGGAGGAAAGGAAAGUGGAGCUUUUCCGGUGGCCGGGGUUGCUCGCCGGCGGCAGGGGUGCGCGCAUGGCAAGGGCAUAGAGGUGCUGAUGACGGUUAGGGUUAACUAGGGGUGCAAGUCGGCUAGAUCUAGGGUUUCAUGCUAAGGAAUCCUAGUGCAACCUUAUAUACAACCUGCAACUUUGCAGAGAAGUCCCCCAAAGAUAAUUGUUAUCAUCUAAGUCCCAGACAGUGCAUGUGUUUUGCAUGUACGCACCUCCAUGCUCGAUCUCGCGCGAUUCGGUACAUAAAAUAAUACGACUUUUGCGAAUUUCCCGAUUUUCCACUCUCGACCCCUUAGCGAACUUAUUGCAAUUCCCAAAGAUCCGUCCAUCAGAUUUCUGAUCGGAUCACGCCAACGCGUUCAGCACGUCGAGGCAUCGAAUCUAGCAUUUCGUUUCGUCCGAUUUGAUCUCCGAUUCACGACGAAAUCCAUUCUCUUUCCAAAAGGCCACAAUGACGCACAAUUACACAAGAAACAUGUAUUUUCAGAUUUUCUCGAAAUCCGUGCGUCAAAACCAAAAUCCGUCAGCGACAUUAGUUCCAGAAUAGCUGCAUCCUUCGAAACGAGCUAUUGGACUGCUAUGAACGGAGUCCGAUACGCACCAGAAGCCAACUCUACUCCGUGGCUUCUCCGGAAAACCGGAGUUACUAUUCACUUAAGUGAAAACUANCUCUCACCCAUCUCCAGAUCACUUGUACAAAGCACGAGGAGUUUUAAAAUGCACGAAUAGCAAAGAGCGGAAACCCUCUUUUUGUUAAAACUCCUUUUUCUCGAAAACCGUGCCUCAGAUCCAAAAUCCGUCAGUGCCAGUGAUUCCAGAAUAGCUGAACCGUUCGAAACGAGCUAUUGGAUCGCUAUGAACGGAGUCCGAUACGCGCCGAAAGCCAACUCUACUCCGUGGCUUCUCCGGAAAACCGGAGUUACUAUUCACUUAAGUGAAAACUAAUAAUCGCGUAACUUCUCCAUUUUAGUUCAUUUUCUCCUGAAACUUGACGAGUGCUUAUGUAAUUAAAUUACACAUAUAAACAUCGUCAACAAAGAGUUUAGUUGCACUGUCAAAAUUUCAGUCCUUACAAAAAUUAAAUUUAUAGGCUUAAUUAUAAAUAUCUUGCACUUUACCAACGAUCUCAAAUACCCUUUUAGUUCCGCCGGUUGCUGUUGUGGCUAUCUGCAUAGCGCAAUGUUAGUUUCAGCCGUCAGUUUUAACGGAAUAACUUAUUUGAGACAGUACAUAGAAAUUAAUUGAGAAACCAAAAAAAGUGCUAAGUAGUUUUAAGAAUAAUUGCACAUAUAUCCUUGACAAGUAGGGAUAUUACAUAUUUGCCCAUCUAAAUUUUACAAUAUGUUAGAUAUUCUUGUAAAUUUUAAAAUUUAGAUAUGCUAACGAUCAAUAUCGCAAACUUUCAAUAAGGUUUCACCUUAGUCCUUAAGUUUUAAACUAAAUUUCAUUUAAUUCUUACCUUAGAGUUAGAAUAAUUAUUUACACCAUAUUUAUCUAUACAUUUUUUGACGCCAUUAUUUUGCACUUUAAAUGACCUUAAAAUUAAUUUUUUUUAAAUAAAAAGUAGAAUGUUGCCACUUUAUUUGUUAAGCAAAUAAACUUAGUUACCAAAAAAAGAAGGUAAUCUAGAGCCUCAUGUUGCUAGAAAAAGUAAUGAAAAAAGUGAUUAAUUAAAAAGGAGAAAAACCAAAAAAAAAGUUAAUUGUAUACAGAUGCCUACAAAUAUAGUGAAUGACAAAUAUAUCCCUACAAAGUUCAACUUCAUAUGUUGUUCCUGCAAAAGUCAUGAUAUUUUCAAAUAUAUUUUUGCUGUUAGAAUCCGUUAGAAAAAUUUAGUUAACCAUAAGUUAAAUACUUAAUCCUUGUUAGUUUUUGACAUUUUUAUCUCUUUGUAUUAUACUGUUAUGGUUUUUGGAGGGAUAUAUUUAUGAUGACAAAAUUGAAAUAUAAACAGCUCUCUAACGGUUCUCUAACGAUAAUAAAUCAUAUGGACAUAUUUGAAAACAUUAGAACUUUUGCGGAGACAACAUAUAAAAGUUGAAGUUUGUAGGAAUAAAUUUGUCAUUCACUAUAUUUGUAGGAAUCUUUAUGAAAUUAACCCCCAAAAAAAAAGAAUGGGGAAGCACAAGAAGGUCGUGGCUUUAUAUUUGUCAUUUACUAUAUUUGUAGAAAUCUUUAUGAAAUUAAUCAAAAAAAAAAAGAAUGGGAGAAGCACAAGAAGGUAGAGAAAGCCACAUGACUAAAUACCACAAAUUAUGGUCCUCUUUCUAUCAUAAACUGUGAUAUCAUUUUUCUCAAACCAAAAUACCCACCAUAAGAUCAUUAACUUAACACAAUUCCUAUUUUCCCUUUAAAAGUUUGAGUAUCUUCUAUAAGGCCCUACUAAUUUUAUUGUUCGGAGUGAAUUAUGAAUUACUCAUUAUAAAAAAAAGGAUUGCUGUAUUGCACGCGUAAUUUGAGAAUAAAUGAAUUGUUUUAUCUAUCUCUACUUCUCAUAUAAAUAAAAUUUAUUGCUGAUCUGCAAAUUAUUAUCUUUUCAACAUGUUACUGAUUAUACAGACUAUUUUUUCCAGCAAUCGAACAAAAAUCUUUAUCUUAAUUGAAAUUUUUAAUUUUUAGAUUUGUGGUACGAUAAUAUCUCUAAGACUUCCUGCAACCAAAAACUCGUAACUUUAGACCAUCCCAUUUAAUUAUGUCCUAAGUCGAAAUGAUUCGAAUUUAAAAUUUUAUAAAAUUUAAAUUUUAUAGUUCCGAUUAUAUUUAAAAGUUACAAUCAUUGGUUUGAAAAUUUCAACGUCUGAAACAUCGCGCAGAUAUAAAUACGUCUGGUUACUUCGAUGUAUUAUAGCACCUUGUCAAUUGGUUACAUUUUGGGAAAACUUUAAAUACCACCCGUGUGAUUUCACAUUUUCUCACUUUAGUACUCUAUAAUUUAAAGUGUAUUAAUUUAGUGCUUUGUGUUUUCAUUUUUUAUUUUUUUAUUAUCAAUUCCACUAAUUUUUUUCGUUAAAUCAGUGAUAAAGUUAAAACUAAAAGGUACUAAAGUGAAUAUUCGAUAAAUCUAGAUUGAUAUCUGAAGUUUUUUAUAUAUAAUUUAAUAAAAUAUUAACGAAAAAGCUGACGAAAGGAUAAAAAUAAAAUAACAUGAUACUAAUUUGAUACAGUUUAAAUCAUAAAAUAUUAAAGUUAGAAAAUGCAAAUUUUUUUCUCACCCAACCUUAAAUCCCCCUUUGUUUCUUUCUCUCUCUCUCUCUCUCUCUCUCUCCCCUUCUCUCUCUCACCACAGCCACUAUGCUAAUGCUUCGUUCUCGCUUCAAUCUCCAAACCCUAGCACCACUCCUCACCUCUCCCCGACCCUCCCCCUCCUCCUCUCUCCCCUUCCUCCUCCACCGCCGCCGCCGCCGCAACCUCUCCUUCUCCGCCCUCCGCCCCGACCCUUCCGCCCCCUACGCAGCAGCAGCAGCAGCAGCAGCAGCAACAGCAGCAGCGCCACCCAAAUCGAAGGGGCCGCCGCCGCCGGCGGGGGUGGUGAGGACGGCGCUCUUCGUGCCCCCGGGGGUGCCGCGCGACGCGGGCGCGGCGGAGAUGGUGGUGCUCCCGGGGUCGAACAUCGUGGUGGGGCCGUACGCGGGCGACGCGCGGAUCCGCGAGGUGGAGUUCGCGAAGAGCAGUCCCCGCGCCCGCGACUGCCCGAGGGACGAUCGCCCCGAGUUCGCCGUCAUCGGCCGCUCCAACGUCGGCAAAUCCUCUCUCAUCAACGCCCUCGUCCGCAAGAAGGACGUCGCCCUCACCUCCAAGAAGCCCGGUUGAUCUCUCUCUCUCUCUCUCUCUCUCUCUCUCUCUCUCUCUCGAAACUCUAAUCUCUACCCUCUUUCAGAAUUGUUGCAGUAUUAGCUAAAUUAUGAGUUAAAAAAAGGUAUUGAGAGACCCUAUCAACUGUAGGCUAUUUUGACCCUGCAAAAUGAAUUCUUUCUUAAUUCGAGUCAUUUUAAUAAGUAAAGUUCAAUUUGACAUUCAGUCAGAAAGGGCGUCAGAACAGUUGAAUUUGACAGAAUAAUCGUCGUGUUUAACCAAAUCUCCAAUGUUAUUGAUGGAAAUAACUUAAUUUGAGAGAUUCAGAAAUCGAGAGGGGGUCAAGCAAACGAAAAGGAGAUGAAGGGUUUGUGAGUUCCUAUACAUUUUUACCUAAGUUUUGCGAUGUUGUCUUACUGAGCUUGGUUUUUUGUACGAUAUCUCUGAUUGUUCGGUUAGGCACGUGUAUGUUCAUAAGCAAUCAAGAUUAUGAUUCUAGCAUAAUUUGUUAAUUUAAUGCACAAUUUUGGUUCAUCAUUCACAACGGUUAACUUUUUUCAUAUAUCUUUUGAAAUUUGACUGAAAUCAAAUGCAGGGUGAUAUUGCAAAAGCUUAAGUACUAUUAGGACUAUCAAAUGUAAAUAAAAAUUUAGGGACCAAAAUCACAAUAAGUCAAAUGUUUACUUUAGGGACUUCUUAGUUCUUAUUACACACUAGAAACAAUGUCUGCAAAUAUUACUGAAGUUUAUUCUACUUUUGCUACCUUCAAUUACAUUUUCUUCUAUGCUAUUUUGGAAACAGGGAAAACACAACUUAUAAAUCAUUUUUUGAUCAACAAAAGUUGGUACAUUGUGGAUCUGCCGGGUUACGGGUACGUUUUACUCUCAAACAUCUUACAUGCAUAUCAACUGUUUGUUAAAUGGUUUCUUGAACGUUUAUUUCUUAAGCUUAUACUUGUUGAUAAUAGCUGAUUAUGAAAUUCAAGGGCUACAGAAACUUACACAGUUACACUUAAAUUGAAGAGGAACAGUUGGUGGAGCUAUAUCUGGUUAUAAGGAUUUCAACAGUAAUAACUCUUUUGUUUUGAUGUUUAUUUGGAAAGGAACAUAGGAGAGUUAUGUGUAAGUUUAGGUUGGUUAACUGUCAUGUUUGAACACUUCAUACAGUUAGGGUAGUGAAAAUUAUGUGGAUGACUGGUGGUGAAAUCCAAGCAUAUUGAAUUAUUGGUUGACCUUAAGCAUUCAAACAUAGAGUCAAAAAUAAUGAUGUAAAUAAUUGAUAUUAGAUUUAAAUAAAUCUGCGUACUUGAAAUUGAUCUCAUAUGAAGGAAAAUUAAGGACUAUAAUAAGCUAGCUAUAGAUUUAGAUAAUGUAGGUUCUUGUAUUAAUAGUGUAUUUUGCGCAACAUUCUUGUUCAAGAUGACUAUCACUUAGGCUAUGUUCUAUUCGGGGAUUAGCUUUUUGGGUUUUUUUUUAAAAUUCUUUAUUUUAUUUUGUUAUUUUAUUUUAUUUUUUGCUUCUGGGAUAUUCCACUAUUCUGGAGUAAGCAAGAGUAAGGACGACAUAUGCUCGGUUGUUAUUUGCUUAUUCUUGGGGAAUAUGCAUAUAAGCAUUUGGAUGCUUUUGCCUGGAGUAAUGAGAAAGUCGGUGAAUGAAAAUAUAUAGUGUCAAAACUAAUUCUCUAUGAAAAUCUGUUUAAACUGCUGCAGCAAUCGGCAUUCACAAAUUCUUCGGGGUUAGUGAUAACUUAAUAAAAAACAAAGGUUGAUAAAAGGAACUUUCGAACUAUUGGCCAUUUUGGAAAUUGGUCCCUCAACUUUAUUUUUUUAGGCUAAAUUACAAUUAUAAAAUCAUUUGCACUUUAGCUCCCUCGAUAUUAGUAACCUAAUAGAAAACUCUCCUUAAUAGUUGCGCAGUUAUGGCUUAACCUUCUUCCAUUAGUUUUAUUAUCCAAAAAACAUAAUAAAGUCUUAAGACAUAAGUUCAAAUACCAAUAUUUGACACACCCUUCAACUUUUGAUUUAUUUAAUUUGAGUUAUUUUAGUUCAGAAUUUUAUUUGAUUAUGAUGGUUUUAUUGGCUGUAUAUUGUUAAUAUUGUUGAUUAUUAACAUAACUAUUGUUUUUUGCAAAAAAGUGAUCAAAAUCGUUAAUUUAAACAUAAUCACACUUCAAUUUAACAAAAUAUUUAAUUUAACCAACUAAAAACCCUCAAAUUUUAAAAAAAAUUCAAAAUUUGUGGAAAUGCCAAAUGAGGAAUCAUUUCAAAUUAGUGUAUAAUUGANGAGAUUUUUUUUUUACCUUUUGCUAAUCUUUAGUUGUUAAAUCCGUAUUUAGCAAUUGAGAACUAAUCAGUUUAUGGUAUUAAUAAUGUGUGGAAAUGCCAAAUGAGGAAUCAUUUCAAAUUAGUGUAUAAUUGAGGGUGUCUUUGUAUAUAUUUCACCGGCAGCUCACAAACAUAAAUACUUCAUUUCCACACAUUAUUAAUACCAUAAACUGAUUAGUUCUCAAUUGCUAAAUACGGAUUUAACAACUAAAGAUUAGCAAAAGGUAAAAAAAAAAUCUCGUACAUUACUAUCCAUGAAGCAUUGACAACUACGAACUCAGUGAGGAAGGGAGGAGGGGAAGAAUAUGGUUCUCACAAUGUGCUUGUUUUUUUUAAUAGUACAAGCUCUGCUAUUGUUAUAAAAUCUGGUACAAAGCCUGGGAUAAUGUUGUUCCAGUGGGGAGAUGGAACAAGCCAUCCCCAGUUAUCCUCGGAUAGGAGAUUUUGAUCAGAACAAAUUAUUUUUGAUGAAAAAUUUAGGGAUAAUUUGGGGAUACUUUUGUUAUUUUUGAUGGAAUAAUGGGGAUAAUUUUUGUUAUCCCCCAUUUAUACCUCAAUUAAACAAUACCUUGUGUUAUUUUGGAGUUUACUGUACAUAUAAGUUCAACAAAUGGAUUUCUUAAUUUGCGUAAAUAUUAUACUAUAGAUUUUGUAAGGCAUGUUCUUAAAAGUUUUGAGUUGCUUUGCUGUUUUUACCCGAAACUCCUAGCUUGUAGGUAUAGAAUAUGCAUGAGUUCUUCUUCUAGAUUUUGCACAAGAACUCUGAUUCAUGCGAGACAAUCAUAGCUUAUCAAGACCAAGUUUAAUAUACAUAUAAAUCUAAUUAACGGGCUUUAUUAUAUCUAAUUAUUAUACAGCAUAAUUUCAAAGAUUGAUGUUGCUCUACUAUCUUUACUGGAUUGCACAACAUUAUAUAUGUUAAAUGAGAUAAGUACUUGCUUGUAAAUGUUGGGUAGAGCUUCAGCAUUUGAUAAUAUCAAUCAUGUAGCGUACUCAAUGUGCUUGUUUGUAGAGCUUGGGUUCUAAUUGGUGGACACUAAAUCUUUUUUGAAAAACUUAUGCAGCAAAGCCUAGAUACCAUGUUGUUGGCAAGUUUGUUGAAAAAUUAUUAAGCAAUUGUGGGUUAUUACGUUCAACUGUUGAUAUUGUUUGGCCUUGAGAUUAGAUAUAAAACGAUAAAAUGAUGGUACUAACGGUUGAGCAUGGAUUCAAUCCUUUAGCUGAUUUACUAAUUGGUACUUUAAUACUUAGGAGACAAGAUAUUGAAUUUGAAAAGUGGCAAAUUUGUAGGAUUUUAAGGUGAAGAAAAACUGCUAAGAAGAACUUCAUGCCGACACAGAAUGGCAUGAAAUAUUCUGCCACUUCCGUUUUUUCUAACUCUUACUGUAAGUCUCAAGUCCUGUUGCCUGAUAAUACAUGACUGUUUUGAGAAAAGCUUCUCUUCUAAAGCAAAGGUUCAUGGCCUUGAUUCGGAGUUCAGUAGCUGUGGUGAUUCUUUUCCUUCAAAAGUUCUUAUGUUUGUUUCAUAUCUCUACUGACAUGAUAGGAGGGACAUCAGCUCAAAAUUGUUAGUUGUCCUUUUAGACAAAUUGUUGAUGAUGUACUUCUCAGCAGGCUUGGCAUUUGUUAUUAAUAAUCAGAGAAACACAACAUAGAUGUCCUUUGAAAUGGUUUCACAAAAAAAUUCUCUGGGCGUUGCAACCUUUUCCAAUCAUGUAUCAUAUUCUAUCCUCGUAAUAAACUGUUAGCUUUAUUCCCUGAAUAUAGGUUUGCAAAUGCUCCUGAAUCGGCUCGAAUGGACUGGUCUUCAUUUACAAAGGGUUACUUUCUAAACCGCAACACUCUAGUUGGUGUUCUCCUUCUCGUUGACGCCAGUGUUCCACCCCAGCAAAUCGACCUCGAUUGUGCUAAUUGGCUUGGUCGUAACAACGUACGACCUAAAAUUCUACUUCUCUACCUUCUACCUGCUGCAAUUAACAUUUAAUUAUUUACUAAUUUCCCCUUAUCUUCUCUUGAAUUGAGUGGUUUUAGAUUGGGUUGACUUUUGUUUUCACGAAGUGUGACAAAGUCAAGAGUGCCAAAGGCAGACGACCGGACGAGAACAUCAAACAUUUCCAGGAUUUGAUAAGUAAAUAUUAUAAGGAUCCUCCCCCGUGGAUUAUGACCAGUAGUGUCACGGGAUUAGGGCGAGAUGAGUUACUUCUCCAUAUGUCGCAGUUAAGGAACUACUGGGAUAACGAAGCAGCUUAAAAAGCUACAUAUAUCGCCAAAGUUUUGUUAGGUUUGUAUCUCUAGACUAUCAUCUUUGUUGUAUAUAAAGUUUUCCAGGUAUGAAGUUGCAUAAAAUAUUUGUUUCUUCUAUUGAGAUGCAUUAUUAUACUAGUCGACAACUCAUUGAACGUCAUACUUGAUAUGUAUUUCUCAACAUUUGGUCUUACAUUUGUAUAUUUGCUUUGUGAAAUGGCAGUAAAAGGUGCAUAAUUACGAGCUUUCAGGAAAAUUUGAGAUUACAUAUAAGGACACUAAGGAAGCAGAAAAAACAUAGAGCUCAGAGGCUUACACCCCCAGUUACACAACCGCCUCGAGAAACAUUUUAUGUGUGACACACUUGAACCAAUCUAAGCAACCAAGUUCCACCCACUAACAUAGCAACCCAUUGUUUGGCACCAUUGAGCAAAUUAAUUGGAUUUCUGAAAUAGAGCCAAAUCUCGUGAUUUAAGAUUGGAUUUAGUGGGAAUAAUUUUUGACUCAAAAUAUCCCUUCUUCAAAUAGAUAUCUUUACUUUUUAACUCUUAUAAUAAUGUUUGAUUUGAAAAUAGGUGUUUUGAAAUGAUUUUUUAUCUGUCUAAACAAUUUUCUGUCAAGUCUCUGUCAAAACAAUAAAAAUAAAUGAAAUUCACUUCAAACCCUGAUUUAUUCUGAUAACAUAUAUUUAUUUGAGAAAAAUUAAUUAUGUAGAUAUUUAUUUCAGCAAAGUUAAUUAAAUUAUGUGUGUUUUUGACUCCAAACAGAGUGUAAAGUGUAAACUAAUAUCUUGAUCGCCUCUUUUUGUUUCUUUUUUGCACAAGAUAAAAUAUGCCCCUUUUACUCUUUCUCUUGGUGCAAAACUGUCCUUCACCUGCCUAUGGCUGUGAAAAUUAUUAAGGAAAUUAGUUUCAAAUUACUAGAAUUGUUACUAUUUUAUGUUCUUUUAAUUAUGUAAUUAUCUGCGGUUCCCUAUGGUAAUUGCCGAUUACAUAUGUUCCCUGAAAACAACUUGCUAGAAAUAAAUUAAGUAUUAGAUAGUUGUCACUUUCAGCGAACCCAUCGAAGAACUCAUAGCAGGAAGAAAUAGUUUAAAAUUUCUAGGUUACAUACACCAUCUUCCUGGUGUUCUCUACAGAAGCAAACCCAAUAGCUAGAAAAUCUUCCUAUCUUUACAUCUUUUCCUUGUAGAUUAAUGUUAUCUACCUUUUGAUUCUCUUCUUCACCGUUUUAUCCGCCAUUAACUGAUGCCUGAAUCUUAUACUCCAAUUAGUUCGAUAUUUGAAAACGAUGGAAAGCUCUUUUGGAUAUAUAACAACUGCUGGGCUGGUAUGGACAACUUGAGCAUGUUGGGGUGGUGAUUUAAACAUAUGAUCAUACCCCUCAUCUAUACUGAAUUCUACGAGCUGAAUAUGUCCUUCCAAUUUCCAGCUACACAUUGAUUGCUCUUCACUACAUCUUCUCUCCUUAAAACUAUCUGCUGUUCACAGGUUGUUUGAGCCUCGUGGAGAUCUAAAAUCUCUCCUUCUACCGAGAAAAAUCCAUCGAUGAACAUGACCGAGAAAAAUCCAUCGAUGAAACGGGCCUUAUCUAAUCCAACUAAUACGCGAUGUGAAUCGCACGUCAUCGAUAUGUCGCUUCCGAGUGCAAUUGAGAUCCUCUUUGGUUUCAAUUUGUAGAGGUGAGCAUGGGUUUGAUGGUGUCUGUUUACUAGGCCUAGCAAUAUCCAUGUUCAAGGAAGAAAUGUGUAUGCUGAUGGUUUAGCCAUUGUUCAAUCUGUUUUCAAUUCAGGGAAGAAUCCUUCUAUGUUUGUAUCUGAUAAAUUAUAUUAUGUACGAAAUAACCGUUGUUCUCUAAAUGCUAAAGUCGGUAGUUGUGAGCAAAUGAUGUCCUUUAAUAGGAUAUGUAAACUUCUUCAGGUGCUCCAGCGUUGUUCAGUAUAGUUUUCGCUUUACAAUUCUGUUGUUUAAAAGCUUGCACUUUCGCUUUAUUUUUAUUUUACUACGAAAAUUUGUCGGUAAAAAAACCGUAGUAAAGCAAAUUGGAGCAGUAAUGUGUAAACUAUAGUAUUGUAAGGUGAUUACCACAACAAUAAAGGUGGCUCUUCAUUCUGAUUCGGAAUUUGUAACCGUAAUAUCGAUAUCAUUUGAUUUUUCUUAAUUUUUCUUAUUUGACUUUGCUACUACUUUCUUAUGCAAGUAAAUUUGUCGCACGGUGGAUUAUCGACUAAUUCGUGUAGUACAUAAUCUUUUUUGGGUCUGUAUUACAAAUAUUAACUACAUAAACAACAAAAAUUAAAUGCUAAGUAGGUUUUUGUGUGUGUGUGUGUGUGUGUGUGUGUGUGUGUGUUUAUCUUACAAGCUGUUUUCUCUCUGAGUUUAUGCCAUUAAUAACCCCUAUAAUCUCCUUAAUUGCAGCGCCAUUUUUCAAAAUCCCCGUGUGCGAGAUCCCCCGGAGCCUGAUCACAUUCAGGGACUGGUUCGCCGAGCCCGACCACUCCGACUCGAGCGCCAGCAGGCUCACGGCAUUCACCGUCCCGUCGCCGUCCCCGUACGCCACCUCCGGCCGCUCGUCGAACCCCCCGGUCCUGUAGAACAGCUUCUCCGGCGUGUCGACUCCGGUCCCGACAACGCACGUGACCGGCACGCCCGGCUCCUCCAGUUUCUCCGUGAGCGGCUUGACCCGGUUCGUGUACGGCCCUACCCCCUCCCGAAACCCGAUGUCCUCCAAGAAACUCGGCAUUUCGAAUGCCGAGUAGCUCUUAUUGAUAUGCGCGGCAUGCACGAUCGGCUCGGCCCCGAAGUGCUUCGGAGCCGGCAGGAGCCAGAGGUUGCUCUCGGAGCUCCGCUGCUCGGCGCGGACGAGCAGCGGGUCGACGAGCGGCAAGCCGAGGGCGUUCCCCGAGGCGAAGGUGAGCAUCUGCUCCGCCGUGCCGGCCCACGGCGUGGAGAGCGACACGAGGUGCGCGACGAACCGCCGGCGCCACGACGGCGGGCUGCGGAUGAGGAGCUGGAGCGCGAAGAGGCCGCCGAGGCUGUGCGCGACGAGGAUCGCGGGGCGGCCGCCGUUCGCGGCCGCGGCAGACUCGAUCAGCUCCUUGAGGUCGGAGAGGUACUGCGCGCCAACCUGCGAGGGGUGGCCGGCGGCGGCGAGGCCGUAGCGGAAGUCGUAGGGUGCGCCGAAGAGGCUGUUGCUCUCCUUGUAGCCGAUCUGCUCCAGGGAGCUCACCAGAGUGGCCAUGUACUCAGUCAGGUGCCUGAACAAACAACAAGCUCAGUGUUUGUGCUGAGUUAAUUUCGCAGAACAUGCACAGAACUUAUCUGAAUUACAGACCAUUUGAUUUGAGUCGGCGAUACUAUAAUCUCAAAACUUGAAUAUGCCGCUUACCUUUAUAAACUUAAUAAAUAUAUUUUAUAUAAGGCUAAAUUAUAGAAAUUUUUUUUAUAAAUAUUUCAUUUGUUUACUUUUCUUUUCUGACUUUUAAAAACUUAUAUUUUACUCUUUUAAUAUUUUAAGUUGUUGUAUUAGUAUUCCUCCAUCAGAAUUUCAUCACUACGUUGUCUAUUAUUUAUAAUUUAUACUUAAAUUAUUUUUUAAAAUGAAAGAAAUAUAUUAAAAUUUUAUUUUUUUAUAGAAGAAUUAAGAGUAAUUUGAUUAUUUUGUUUUCUUCGUUAACGUUAAAAUAUAGAUCUUUGAUAAUUAGGAAAUUAAAGUGAAAAAAAAAAGAAUAUAUAAAAAGUUUUUCUAUAUUUUAGCCAUUUAUUAAAAUAAUUAAUUAGUUUAGAUUUUGGAUUUGGAUAUGUCAAAGAGGAUUAAAUUAAGGAAAGAUAAAACCGCACAAUAAUGUGAAUCAAUUUUGAAAUGAUUAAUUUAACUUUUCAUAAUUAUUUUAAUUUUACAAUCCAAUCUUUCAACUUCUUUAGUUUUCAUUAAUCAGCCAUAUUUUAACUUCAAAAAUUUAAACUAAUUAUUUAUUUUAAUAAAUUUAUAAUUGCGAGAAUUAUAUAAAAUAUACUUCACUAAAUCUAUAAAAUUCAAUCGAUGUAUUCAAAUAUUAAAGUCAAAAAUUUAGAUAGUAAUAAAAUUAAAAUUUUAAAAUAUUGAGUAUUUGUCUUAUCAAAAUGUUCUGCCGUUCAGAUAAAUUAGUGUACACUUUUACGAGCGACCUAGAAGACUACAUUAAUAAUAGGCCAAUUUGUAUAAAAAAUUUACAAAUUUUGAGUUUUUAUAAAACUGGCCGUCUUUUUCGAUUUUACUGAUUCGGUCCGAAUUUUUAAUAAAUUGACUAAAAUAUCUCUUAUACCUUACAGGACCACAAUUAAAUUCUAGAAAGCCAUUAUCAUCCUAACUUUAUAAUAAUAAAAACUCAAUAUUAAAAAAAAUAAAAAACUAAAAAACUAUUAAUAAUAUUUCAGCCCAAUUCUAUUUAUAGUACAGCAGCUUUAACUC
Molecule: long non-coding RNA, 47407 nt
Filed under: Ananas comosus (pineapple)
Lineage: Eukaryota; Viridiplantae; Streptophyta; Magnoliopsida; Poales; Bromeliaceae
Description: long non-coding RNA (ACOM_LNC001304)
Source: RNAcentral